UUUUUUCUUCCCCUUUAAUAAUAGUACCAAGCCAAAAGGUGCCUACAAAGAUGGAAGUUAAGAACAAGUAUGCAGCAAUAAAAGCCAACAUAAAUGGUGCACCAGAAGAGUCAGACUUCGAGAUAAAAGUCGAAAACCUCUCACUUAUAGUUGAGCCAGGGUCUAAGGUGGUGGCUGUCAAGAACCUGUUUGUAUCGAUUGAUCCGUAUCAGAUAAACCGGAUGAAGAGCCAAAGUUCAUCACAAUCAUCGAUAAGUUAUGCAACUGCCAUUACUCCUGAAGAGGUCAUAAACACUAAUGGUGUAGGAAGAGUGUUGGCUUCUCAUCGGCCUGACUUUAAGAAAGAUGAUUUGGUAGCAGGCUUUCUUACCUGGGGAGAGUACACUAUGGUAAAGGAAGGUUCCCUGUUGAAUAAGUUGGAUCCUAGUCUGGCGUUUCAUUUGUCUUACCAUGUCGGAGUAUUUGGAUUCAGUGGACUUGUUGCCUAUGGUGGAUUCUUCGAAGUGUGUAAGCCGAAGCCAGGGGAGAAAGUUUUUGUAUCUCCUGCUUCUGGUUCAAUAGGACAUUUAGUAGGACAGUAUGCUAAAUUACUAGGAUGUUAUGUUGUUGGCUCUGCUGGUAGCCAAGAAAAGGUAAAUUUUCUUAAGGAGACACUUGGAUUCGACGAUGCAUUCAAUUAUAAACAAGAAACUGACCUCAAAUCGGCUCUCAAAAGGUGUUUCCCUCAAGGGAUUGAUGUCUACUUUGACAACGUGGGAGGCAAGAUGCUAGAAGCAGCAUUGGCAAACAUGAACUCAUUGGGUAGAGUAGCCAUCUGUGGGGUUAUUUCUGAGUACACGAAUGCUAGCACAUGAGCUUCCCCGGAAAUGUUGGAUAUAGUCUACAAGGGGAUUAGCAUCCAAGGAUUCCUACAGCUGAUCUCAUGACAGUGUAUGCAGAUUUCCUGUCUAAAACAGUUGAGUACCUCCAUGAUGGAAAACUUAAGGCCAUCGAAGAUAUCUCACAAGGCGUUGAAAGCAUUCCCUCUGCUUUUAUUGGACUGUUCAAUGGUGAUAAUAUAGGCAAAAAGAUUGUCAAACUUGCAGAUGAGUGAAAAAAAGAACAAGAAAUUUAAGACUGUCGACCUAAUUGUUCAUGAAUUCGCGACCAAUAUCUGUACUUCUUUCAAGUUGUAAUCCAUUUAAACGUUCGUCUUCUGCAUCAAGUUAAAGAACAAGUUUAUGUAUUAUGCCUAUCAGAUUCUUGUUUAGUUUUCCUUUCCAUGUAUCCUAGAUUGAAACAAACUUUGUGACCCUAUUGUCUACCAACUAUGCCUCAAUCCCAAAUUUAGUUGACUAUAUAUAUCUUUUAUAUCAACGCAACAAAGUGGAAAAAUACAUCUUUAGCAACUACUUCAAGACCACCACAAGAUAAAAUAGCAGCUGAGUCUACUGAAAUAGCAGCAAAGUAAAGUGACAAUGGAUGUACAUAAGUUUGUUUCAAUAGAAUGACACGAUAGAAAACACUAAUGUACUAGUAUCACAGUAGAAACAAAAUUUGAGAGGAAUGGAUCAGGAAGGGGAUGAACGUAAUACCAAGUGUUACAUUAACGGCGUUAAUAUUGAACCUGCAGUCUUCCUUCCAUUCAAACAGAUUGUCAACAGCCUCUGCCAAUGCAGAAUAAACCACUAGUUUGUUGUGUUUUCAAGAAAUUAUGGUCCUACAAUUGCAGCCACAGGAAGACGCACACAUAUUAGUGAAUGCUUCAGCAUAAGGCUAUUCAUCCUUGAGGGGGAGUGGUUAAAAGGCACCACAAAGACGCUUAACCGCAGUUCCCCUGGAGAGCAAAGAACAAGCCAAAACUAGCACUCAUCAACUUGCAACACCUUUUUUUGAAGGAGAACUAAUUGCAAUAUAAGGGAAAAGAAUUCAUAAUAUGGACUAUUAUCAUCACAAGUAUCAUGUGACAGAUCAACAUCUAGUUCAGAUCGAUCUACAAAAAACACACAUUCAAGGGAAGGAGAAGCUUGUUCAACAUUUUGUUAUGAUGAACUUGACUUUAAGCUACCAACAAUGUGAGACGCAAUUUAGCAGACAUAGGUAACUCUCGCUCUAUACAUGCACAUGGUAUGGUAAUAACAUCGGUACAUCACAAAGGAACUGUAAAAACAGGGAAAGCCCGCAUUUCUUCAUUGCGCUCCAAGCAGUUAGCAGAGAGUGGACUAGCUGUUUGGUUGUUCCUAACAUAGCUUUUUCACUUCCUGAAAAUUCAAUUAUACAGAUUAGUUAGCUGAAAACUGCAUUGACAUCUCAUAUUACAAGUAAAAGCAGUAAAGAUCAAGAAAGCAACAUGUGAAGAGCUAGUCCAGACACAGUCUACAUUUAAAGUGUACUAAACACAAGCUGCUGGCCUGGCCUUGUUUGAGCAUUGAAGAUGAGCUGCAUUUCCCUANNNNNNNNNNNNNNNNNNNNNNNUCUUUAGUUGAUGUUGUAAGCAGUGAAGAUGAACAAAUACAAGGUAGUUGGAUAACCUCAAGCUAGACUGCAUGAAAGUGGUGUAUAAAUGGUAUACUUAGUAUGACAAAUCCCAUAAGAAAAUAAAAAUGAACAAAGAGAUCCUAAGAGAUGCUCAUCCUGAUUCCAGUGCAACAUACUGACCCACCCAAAAAUGGGUAAUUUGAUUCAGAUCUGGAACACUUCACAGAAAGCAUGACCCUCCCACUACUAAAAAUAGACCAAAAAAUGACAGCCAAAAGCGAUGGACAACGUCGUUUUUUUUUUUGGACAACAUUGCUUUUUUGCAAAUGAUGGCCUGCGUCGCUUUUUUUUACGACAGACGGCGUCGUUUUUUGAAUUUUUUUUUUUUUUUAAAAAGCAACGUUUUGUCUCGUUUUUUUAUUCUUCAUGUAUAGAAUAAAUGAUGAACAAAAAACGACGGACAUCGUCAUUUUAUUGAAGAAAAAAAUAUUUUUUUUUAGAAAAAGCGACAAAGUCCGUCGCUUUUCUGUAUAUUUUUGAAUGCAGAAAUCUGCAUUUUCUGCAUCCCACUUGCCAAAUAAAAAUGCAAUUCAAUAUGUUCAGCCCCUUGCAACACAUUACUAAAAUAAUCAUACAACACACUACAUCAUCAAAACAUUUAAGCAAUUCAAAUCAACAACACUUCAAACAAUCAAUUCAACAACAUCCAAAACACUUAACAAUUAAUCCACCAACAUCUAAAACACUUAAGCGAUCCUGAAGGUUUUCCAAUAGUUAAAAGUUAAGUUCAAGAAUGUCUUAAAAGUGUCUAGAAGCCAAAUCCAACAACACUAAGGAGUAGACCCAACAAACUCCUCAUCACUUUCUGUUUCUUCUUCGCUACUUGAAUCGGGCGAUGGAGAACGGCGACGGCAACGGCGAGGCAUGCUAAGCAUUUGUUUCUUAAGUUCCUCGACGGUCUUGCGCGUGACUUCAUUUUGAGCAAUGGACUGUGCCACGGCACGUGUAAGCUGUGCAAUCUGCUGCGACAUAGCAGCAAUUGAACACUGUCAAUCGCCUCAGCCUGGCGUGAGGAACCAAUACCAGCCUAUCCAUCCUCGAGGUGUCACAAUUCAUUUCGAGAACCCAAGCCAUAGGUUCUCCCCUUUCAUCUUCCUCCUGUCACUUUUUCGGUCCGAAUUUGAAUAGCUUCCUCCUGCGCAGGCUCGGUUGAACCAAACUCAGACACGUAGUGUAUAUAUUCAUUCUGCAUAUUAAAAAAGACACGUUAGUAAAUUUUACUAUUACUAAGUAAGGUGGAGCAUAACGUAAAUUUUAAUAUGUUUUGCUUACAUAUUGAAUACAAAAAUAAGAAAGAAAUCAACUUUUUUUCCUAAACAUUAUUUUAAAGCUAACUUUUGCUUUCCAUCAAAUCUAACUCGGUAAGAAUUUCCACACACAACCCUUUGACUUUUUAAAAUUUGUUCCUCGUAUUGUUUCCACUAAUUGUACAAUUAAAGUUAGCAUGGCUACGUCUCAUUUCAUCCUAUUUCCUCAAUGUAGUGCCACAAAAAGGAUCCAAAUCAACAAACAAUAAGUAAAUCCAUGUUAGUCAAAUUCUUGAAACAAUUUUCCUACAAGGAUUAGCAAAAAUCGUUCGAUAACACUUCUUCCUAUUUCUUUCUCAAUGAUAUCCGACGAUCAAUUUUCCUUGCUAGUACAUACUCGGUAAAUUGACCUCGGUCAGAUUUCAGAAAAUUAUGCUAAUACGUUGAUAUCAAACAAAAUAGACCUUCCAAGAAAUGCAUUAAACAAGGCUACUAGUAAUUUGUACUUGGUGAUACAUCACCAUAGCAUUGAAGAGUUCUUAGAAAGGUCAAGUUACAGAUACGAUUUGCUACGGUAUUUAGCAACAAGAUAGAGAAUUACUUAUAGUAGGGAGACAACUUGUUUAAAAUAACAAAGAAGAGGAGAAUUGAGCUUUAGUAAUUAGAAGAAAGCAUCAUAUUAAACAACACUUUAAAUCCCAAUAUAUUUAUCUAGAUUCCCUUGUUCAUUGGCAUUUCCAAUCUACACUCGGGAUCGUAACCCCAUUGCGAUUACAGAUUGGAUGUCUAAUUGUUAGUAUCUUGUACCUGAACUGAUGGCUCACUUUUUCUAAGUAAUGGGGAAGAGGACCGAAACGUGCCACUGAAAGAAUCUAGUUAGACAAAGAUGGGCUGUCAAGAAUGUAGAGGAGGUAGGAUGGGCAGUUGGUCAGAUCUAGUAUGGAUAUACAUGGACGGUAGUUGGAGUCGGCAGCUCUCCCAGUCUUCCCUCACUGAGAUCUCUGGGGAAGCCUUCCAACCCACUUUUCUUCAUGACAACUUUAUUACCAAACUGAAAGAAGAUUUAAAUUGACCAAAUAUGCAACAGAACGAGAAGAUAGUCCUGGAGAAAAUUAUCAGUAAGCUAUAAGCAGCAGCAAAAAGGACCAAACUAGAUAGUAUCUCCAACUUUAACUCUUAUUCAGUAAUUCCACUAUUUCGUACUUUUCCCUAUUAAACACUAACAAGGGUUAGGCACAUUAUGCAACCAUGACUUCUGUGUCCCUGGUCCUCUUUAUGAUUACUCUAUCUAGAGGCAAAAUCGACUCCCUUAUAAAGCUUCAAGAAGAACAAUAAAGCUAGUCCAGAAGAAAGACAAAGAUUACGUAGAUCGUAAUACCUGAAGAAAAAAAAGCUAGUAACUAGGAGCAACGAGAAAACCAAAACAAGUCCAGAAGAAAAUAAACAGUUAGCUACCUAUUAGCUGCAAUGAGAAAAGCGAAAAUCAGAUACUAGGAAGACCGUAAUAUUGAUUCCAAAAGUAUCAAGUUUCCUCUUUAUGCCUCAUUAGUUUUCACCAGUAAAAGAUUUAUUAAAGAAGCCCCUAGAUCAAACAAUAACCCUGGGAAGGACCUCGGCUUUAUCGGCGCAUUCACAUGCCACACGUUCUAAGUUCCUGAUGCUCUUUAUUUUUUACUCUGACUAGAGGCAUAACAUUCUCUAAAACACUGCUGAACAAGAGAAAAGAUGUCCAACAUCAUUUAGUGCAAAGUCGAAGACAAAUUUAUUGUUCCUUGAAGAUAGUGUAUAAAGGAAAAAAUGACUAACAAGAUCUCGAAGCAAUACGGUUUAAAGAUGUCUUUUACAUAUGCAUUGUCUUGUUCUGUAUGCGAAAUAACAAUAAGAACUUAACAGCAAUUGAGGAAAAAAAAAAGUAUACUUACAAGUUCUUUGUCACUUGGUUUUCUUGAUUGGAGCUUUUUCAGCCUUCUGUGUUUUGUUGCAUCUGCAGCCUCUUCUUUAGAAAAAGGACAAACUAAACUUUCAACGUAGAUUGCUAUCUUAGGAAACUCAUCAAAAUCAAUAACCUCUGAAUAUCUCAAUGAAGAAUCCUUCAGCUUGUAUAUCAUGGAAUAUUUAACAAACCUGAAAUUUUUUUUACCUUUGUUUGACAUGAAACAAGGCAGAUAAAAAUCACAACGCGGUGUAUCAAAAGGACAAUUGACGGUAAACAUCUUUGUCCAAGAUUGUUUAAUCCCAUAAUCCUUCAUAACCCAAAAAUCUACAUGAGAGGCCGCAUUAUAACAAAAAAUGGAAAGAUCACUUCCCAACACUCCCAAAUACAAUUGAAUAUAUCCCUCUUUGUAGAAAGGAUGCUCCACUUCUCUCCAUUUCUCGUUAGCCAAAUCAAACGAAAUGAUGUUCCAUUCCUUAUAGUCACUUCAGGAACCAUUCACCUUAGCAUUAGGCCAAUUAAGUUUCCCCUUCACUAAGAUACCUGAAAUAUAUACUUCCUCUCGACUUUUACACUUCCUCCAUUGACAAUCGUCAACAUUUCCCCAAGAAUCACUCUUUAGACUAUAUAUUUUGAGCUCACCUCGACCGAACUCACCUUUUAUACAAAAGGUACCCAAUAACUAAUAAUCAUCAUGAAACUCAUUGUAUCCAAAACCAUACAUUCGCGCUGUUUCAAACCACAAUGUAGCACUAGGACAAGGCAAUUUCUUGUACUUUCUAUUCGAUGGGUUCCAUAGAAACAAAUUAUCUUUAGAAUCCGCAAGACAAAUCAAUCCAUUGACAGAACUUAGAAUUGUUAUAGAACUAGGCAAUUCGUUGUACAAUCCAUCAGAUAUCAUACGAUGACCCAAGUGUGAUACCUCCGUAACAGAAUCAUUACAUAAAGAAUCAAGAUUACAAUCUUUAAUAUUCACCCCCUGUAUAGAAAUCCGUACCACCCAACGUUCGGUAGAAUUACUAAGAUGGGUCUUGAUAAAUUCAGGGCUCCAGAUUAAAGCAAGCCAGGAUUUUGAAACACACCUGAAUUGCAAGAGGGAAACAACGCAACAUACGCUUAUAAUGUAAAUACUCAUUAGUAUUAGCAGAUACAAUAAAAUGGGUAUUAUUAUAUUCGUGGCUAGAGAUUAAAGCAAGCCAAGAUUUUGAAACACAAACUCAACAUAAGCUUAAUGAUGUAGAUAUUGAAUCAUUACUAUUCCAUCCGUCCGGCAAUAUUUGUCCACUAUAUACUAAAAAUAAGUGUCAAACAAUACUUUUCCGGUUUAAAAAUCAAUGAAGAAUUUACCCUUUUCUACCCACUUUACCCUCGCUAUUAAAUACUAUUCAUCACUCAAUACAUUUUUCAAAAUAUUAAGUUUAUUACUCCUUCCGUCUAUUUUUACUUGUCCAGUUUUCUUAUUAUUUUGGGAUGUGCAACAAUACUUGUCCAAUUUAUAAAACCAAUGGUAUUAAAUACAAUACAUCUCUCAUUUCAUUUUUGAAAGCAAAAAAAUUAUUAUAUUCAAAAGGUGACAUAGUAAAAUCACCCCUCCAUUUAUCGUUUUAAGGUAUGUGCCAAGUAAAAAGUGGAUAAGUAUUUACGGACGGAGGGAGUGUAUUCAAAUUUUAUCCUUGCUAUUAGAUACUACUCAUCACUCAAUACAUAUUCCAAAAUAUUAAAUUUAUUAUAUUCAAACAGUAAUAUAGUAAAAUUACCCUUAUUAUUUAUUAUUUCUUAACGUGUGUGCCAAUACAAGUAUUGUUGGAAAGAGGGAGUAAUAUAUUCGGGGCUAGAUAUUAAAGCAAGCCAAGAUUUCUAAGCAUACCUGAAUUUCAAGAGGGAUGAGUUCAGCCGGCAGAAGAGGGAUUGUAAAGUUCAAAUCUUGCAUUGAAUUUGAUGGAAAUCCAGCAGAUUUUGUGCGCUUCUUCCAUUUUUUGGUGUUGAUGGUAGGCUUUAUCUUCCUCUUUUUCCAUUUGGGCGCCACAAAUUUGAGUGAAAUUCCCAAGUUUAUAGUAGUCAGCUGUGGACCGAAUUCGACAUGGGUCGGAUCAGGUCUGGUCGGGUUAUAUUAGGAAUAGUGGGUUCUCUCUUCAAAAUUGGAUAUUUUUAGGCAAUUUGGGGGUUUUCGUUUAUCUAGGGUAUGGGUAACACAUUUAUUAACCGUGAGUCAGAUAGACGAUUUUUCAAAAUUAAUCGUAUUUUUUAAAACAACUUCUUCUAUUUUAUUUUAUUUAAUACUUGGCGCAUCACUCUUUAUGUAUCGUCUUUUAGAUGGAAUUUGAUUUCUAUUCCAGUUUUAGAUAGAUUUGGUUAAGGUUUUUAAUUUUCUUAAUGAAAAAAUUAAUUUGUUUUUGAACUCCCGAGUUGUUGGUCAUGGAAUCCUAUCUGAUGGUUUGUUAAAAUUUUCUUGACUUCUAAUUUUGAAUACAACUCUUUUAAUUUUGAAAUUGUGGGGUCUAAACGAUCAAUUUUAAAUGAAAAAUUGGGCAUGUUGUGGCAUAGGUGUUUAGGUCACAUCUCUAAAUACAGAGUUGAUAGAUUGGUUAAGUCUAAUAUUUUACCUUCUCUUGAUUUUGGGGACAUAGGAACAUGUAUUGAUUGCAUUAGAAGAAAGUUGACUAAACAAGAAAAAAGAAUGCUAUUUGUAGUUUUAGUUGUUGAAAAUCAUUCACACAAACAUAAGUGGUCCGUAUUCUACUUCAAUAUGUGGUUCAAGUUAUUUUAUCACCUUUAUUGAUGACUUUUCUCGGUAUGAUUAUGUUUUUCUUAUUAAAAAAAAUUAUAUUCUCUUGAAAUGUUCAAAGUGUUUAAAACUGAAGUAGAGAAAUAACUGGGAAAGGUCAUUAAAAGAAUAUGAUUUUUAUGAAGUAGAGAAACAACUGGGAAAGGAUCUCACUAUCUUAAUGAUCUUUCCCAACACUAAAACUUAAACCCUAAACUCUGAUAGUGAGGUCCUUUCCCAGUAGUUUGAUAUCAUUGAGAUCCAAACCAUUAGAUCUUUAUAGAUGUACAAAACUUUUCCUCCUAGUGGUAUUAGAGCCUAGGGUUCAAAGAUCCAAUGGUUUGGUAAAGCGAGGUUGAAGACAAGUCCAAGACAGUUCUAAUCAAUUUGCAAUCAAUUGGAUGAUAACGAAGAUUUUAUUACACUAUAUGUGGAGAAGAUAUUUCAAUCAUAUUUUCAACAAUCCUGCUGUCACAUCUUUGAAAACAAAGCUAACCCUAUUUAGAGCUCCAAUAUUUUUAACCCAAAAGGGAUAAUAUAUUUUUAACCGAAAAAGGCUCAAUUUUUAAGCAUGACAAAAGCAGAGAUAAAUGAAGAUUAUGUGAAGAACCAAAAUUAUGCAUAUGACAUGAAGAAGGCAGAUCAAGUCAAGAAAAUCAAGCCCAAAAAGGAGAGAUUUAUUAGGAUUUUUGCCCCGAUUUUCUUACCAAAUUUAAGUUUUAUUUUUUCUUAUAAGGAAAAUAAAAGUAACCAUAAAUACUUUUACUUUUCCUUAAAGGAAAAUAUAAUUUUUUUUCCAUAUUUGACAAACCUCUUUCUUGAAGGAAAGGUUUUGUAUAUCUAUAAAUAGAAGACUCCUCUUGUCAUACAAUAACACAAUAGCAUCCACAAUAUAGUCCUUUAAAGAGUCAUUGUUUAGGGGGAGAUUUCUCCGAAUAGGUUUAAUGUUUUUUAUAUUCGGUUUUAUAAUAUGUAGGCCGAUUGGCCAAAAUAUAUAAUAAUUUAAUGCUUUUUAGUAUUGUUUUCUUUGUCGUCUACUUUAUCGUCUCAAGGUUUGCAGCUAAUAGCUUCCGCAUGACACCCUCUUGAUUUCGAACCCAACAGUAUGAUGAGUAAGCUAUUAAAAUCGUACUUUAAAAAAACUAUAAUUUAAAAGAUAUGAUGAGAAGUAUGAUGAGUAAGCUAUUAAAACCGUACUAUAAAAGAUAUGAUGAGAAGUAUGAUGAGUAUGAUGAGAAGUAUGAAGAGUAAGCUAUUAAAAUCGUAAUUUAAAAGAUAUGAUGAGAAGUUGUAAUUUAAAAGAUAUGAUGAGAAGUAUGAUGAGUAGAUCUAACUUACCUGAAAUCCUCUAGGGUGAAGCUGUUAAAACCUCCAUGUAUAUUCUUAAUCGUGUCCCUUCCAAAUCAUUCCCUAAAAUCCCUUUUGAGUUGUAGAACCAAUAAAAAAUUCAGUUUAAAUCAUUUUCAAGUUUGGAGACCUUCUGCGAAGGUAAAGAUAUAUAACCCUUCAGAAAAGAAAACCGAACCUAGAACCUCGCGUUGUUUUUUCAUUGGUUAUCCAACUGAGAAGGUAAAGAUAUAUAACCCUUCAGAAAAGAAAACUAAACCUAGAACCUCGCGUUGUUUUUUCAUUGGUUACCCAACUCAUUCUAAAAGAUACAGGUUCUACUGUCUUACAAAGGGAACAGGAAUAGUUGAAUCUCAAAAUACAAAAUUUCUUGAAUUUGAUAUUGCAGAUAAGGAUUGUUCUUAGCAUAUCGCUCCUGACUUAAUUGUUUCCCUUUCAAGUCAGUCCUUAAAACCCCUUUUGAGUUGUGGACCAAUAGAAAAUUCAGUUUAAAUCAUUUUCUAGUUUGGAGAUGUUCUGCGAAGGUAAAGAUAUAUAACCCUUCAGAAAAGAAAACUAAACCUAGAACCUCGCAUUAUUUAUUCAUUGGUUAUCCAGGUCAUUCUAAAGGAUACAGGUUCUAUUGUCCUACAAGGGGAACAGGAAUAAUUGAAUCUCAAAAUGCAAAAUUUCUUGAAUUUGAUGUUGUAGCUAAGGAUUGUUCUCAGCAUAUUGCUCCUGAGCCAACUGAAAGUAUUGAAGCUGUCAGAAUUCCUCUCAGUAUUACCUCAGAAUCAUUUGUGUCUGCACCUAUACAUGAUGAACCUCAUAUACAUGUGCAAACUGAUGACUUUGUACCUGCAGAAAUUAGGUGCCUAUUAUUGAAGAAGUGGUCAAGGCACCUGCUAUUGUUGAUCAAGAGGUUCAGAAUUUAAGGAGAUCAAGUAGACCGAGACGAUCGCUGCUAUCGGAUGAUUAUUUAGUAUACCUAAAUGAAGGCGACAUUGUUGAUCCUGUAAGCUUUUUGGAAGCUUCAUCAUGUGCUCAAUCAAAGAUGUGGCUUGAUGCCAUGUCUGAAGAGAUAAAAUCCAUGAGUAAAAAUGAUGUAAGCUUUCAGAGCUUCCUAAAGGUCAGAAGUUUGUUGGAUGUAAAUGGAUUUUUAUGACCAAAAAGGAUUCAAAUGGAAAUGUUGAACGAUUCAAGGCGAGAUUAGUUGCUAAAGGAUUUACACAGCGAGAAGGGGUUGAUUACAAUGAAACUUUUUCACCAGUAUCAUCUAAGGAUUCUUUUAGGAUCAUUAUGGCAUUAGUAACUCAUUUUUAUCUUGAUCUACAUCAAAUGGAUGUAAAGACAGCCUUUUUCAAUGGUGAUCUUAAUGAAGAGGUUUACAUGUAACAACACCAAGGUUUUGUUAGAAAAGGCAGCGAGCAUCUUGUGUGUAAAUUGAAGAAAUAUAUUUAUGGCUUGAAGUAAGCUUCUCGAUAGUAGUACUUGAAGUUUGAGGAGAUUAUGACUUCUAUGGGGUUUGUGGAGAACAACAUUGAUCAUUGCAUCUAUCUCAAGAUCAGUGAGAGUAAGUUCAUCAUUCUCACUCUUUAUGUUGAUGAUAUUUUACUUGCUAGUAAUAAUUCGGGACUGUUGCACGAAAUUAAACAUUCAUUAAAUAAAAUGUUUGAUAUGAAAGAUCUAGGAGAGGCAUCAUUUGUUCUGGGCAUUGAGAUUCGACGAGAUAGAUCUCGUAAGUUAUUGGAGUUUUCACAAAAGGCCUAUAUUGAUUGUAUUUUAAAAAGAUCUCAAAUGAAAAAUUGUAAGCCUGGUAAUGUCCCUAUGGUGAAAGGUGAUAAUUUAAGCCUAGACUUGUGUCCCAAAAAUGAUCUUGAGAAAGAUUUUAUAAAAGAUGUGCCUUAUCCAAGUGUUGUUAGAAGUCUUAUGUAUGCAUAAGUUUGCACUCGUCCUGACAUUGCUUUCAUUGUCAAUGCUCUUGGACGUUAUCAAACUAAUCCAGGAAGAAGUCAUUGGGUAGCUACUAAGAAAGUAAUGAGGUACUUGAAGAAGACAAGAGAUUAUAUAUUAGUGUACAAAAACGUUAACGACCUUGAGGUAAUUGGUUACACAGACUUAGAGUUUGUUAGGUGUCCUGAUGAUUUGAGGUCCACAUCUGGCUUUAUCUUUAUGUUUGCAGGGGGUGCGAUAUCUUGGAAGAGUGUGAAGUGAACUCUUAUAGCAUCUUCCACUAUGGAAGCAGCAUUCGUAGCUUGUUAUGGUGCAGCUACACAAGCCAUUUGGCUUAAGAAUUUUAUUUUAGGGCUUGUGGUAGUUGAUUCCAUCUCUAGGCCCUUGGAGAUUUAUUGUGACAAUAAGGCAGCUGUGUUUUACUCAAAAAAUAAUAAAUCUUCUUCAGUUUCUAAGCAUAUGGAAAUAAAAUAUCUGGCUGUGAGAGAUAUGGUUAAAAGGGAGGACAUUGUGAUUGAACAUAUACCUACUGAUUUGAUGUUUGCUGAUCCACGAAUCAAGGUGCUAAUACCCAUAGCUUUUACACAACAUAUUCAUAAUAUGGGUGUUGUUGUGUCAUUUGAUUUGUUGGGUUAGUGGGAGUAUUUAAUAUUGUUAUUCAUUUGUCAUUAGACUAUUCACCUUAUUGUUUCAUAUUUAUGGUGAUAUUAUCUCUUAAAUUUACAUUUAUGCUAUGGUAGAUUUUGCUAUCAUUUAUGCUGUUGAUUAUUAUUGUGUACACUUUAAUAUUGUUUUAUUAUAUUAAGGAUUUUUGCCUUACGUGUUAGCUAUGUUUCAUAUUGAUAAGAUCAUAUUGUUAUUUUAUUGGAUUUUUCUUUUGUAGACAUAUACGAUAUAUCAUUUUACCUUGUGAAUUUUUUGGUUGUUGCACCAUGUAAUAUGUUGCACAUGUUGAACCUUGAAAAUCAAGAUUUUAUGCUAGAGCACAUGUUGUUUUAGUGCUCACACAUGUUGUAACAAAAUCGCGGUGACGAUUUUUCUAUGGUACGCAUGUUGAUUUUAAACAUACAUGUUGAUAUGAAAAAUUGUUGAAGGACUAACAAUGAAAUAGCCUCGAUUUGGAGUCCAUGUUGGCUAUUUCUUGCUACACUACCACAUUAUUUGAUUUAUGUCUACAAAACUUUAGUGUUAGUAAUUGUGGACUGGUCUUGUAUCGCUGGUUGAUGCAAGUACUGUUGCAGUUCAACAGUGAUGUUUUCCUUGAUUGAACUAUGUUGGAGAUGGCGUUUCACCUCUAAAUACUUAUGGCCACUGUCUACUCAGUCCAAGAGUCAUUUUCAUAAAAAUAUUUUUUUCAAAAUUUUUCUAAAAGUUAACAUUGUCCAAGUGAGAGAAUGUUAGAAUUAUUUAUUUUAUGUGGACUUAACAUUAACUUUUUAUUACAUUAAAGUAAAACGAGCUGAUGUUAUUAAUUGGUGGACAAGACACAGGUCGUGUAUUCAUGUAGAUUCCAUAUUUGCAUGUAUCCAUUUCAUGUUAUUGGUAUGGGCUGACAAUAAUGUAGGCAUGUAGUAGACCUGUGAGCCCAUAAUGAGGGUGCACUCAGUUAAGGAUUUUAAGCCUAUAAAUAAAAGGCUAGGUCCCCUCUCUUGGUUUUAACAUAAGACGUAUUCCCAUAACCUAAGGUGCUACCCGUCAUAAACAAAGGAGAGGAAGACUCCGCCUAGUUCGUCUUCCAUUACGUGUAAGCAAUGACGAACAAAGGUACACACCUUUCCUCUCUCAUAUUCCCUUACUUUGUGUUCUUGAUUUAUGUGAAUCUGUGGUGUGUUUCUCUAUUAAUUUCAACAUAAAAUGCUUCUACAUAUUUUUUUUUUAAGUGGCUAAAUUCCCUCUUUGUUAUUACUUGGAUCAUGUGUUAUCGAUUCAUUGAUUAUUUUUACUAAAGUUCAUUAUUUAAAUAUUAUUUUGGCACAAAUGACAAAUGCCAUCAUUUUAUUCGAUGUUUUACACAUCAUUCGCGAGUGUGACUCACACAUGUGAUAUAUUUUUAUUGAUUAUGCAAAAAGUGCCAAAAUUACGUAGUAAAACAACAGUUAAGAUGUUUAAAAUGUACAUGUAUAGUUGAAGUGCACAAAUAAAAAUUGAUGAUCACUUUUAAGGAGGUGGUGAUGUGUUUGGCCAAAAUAGGAACUUUCUAUCUCUCUUAAGUUAUAUAUUUCCAUUGUCACUUCAAUGGAGUCCAAUAUUUCUAGACUCAAAUGAAAUAUUGAUUCUAUUUUGUUGACAAUGUUCCGAAAACAUUCAGAAUAUUAUAUGCACUCGGUGUUUAUAUCAAAAUAAAUAAUUUAACUUCAGAAAUUAAAAAAUGAAAUGACAAUACAUAUUUUUCAGUAAGAAAUUUUUUGAUUGCAAUCACAAGAAAACAAAUGAAAACAACAAAAGCUUAGUUUAUGAGCAACAAUGCAUGUCAAUUUGUCUUUAUUUUUUUUAGAACUUAUUUCUCAUCACAACUUAUCUCUGCCUCCUUGUGAGGGGCAAGGCCUGUUGUUUAAAUUGUCUUGUUCUUAGCUAUUUCUCUAAGGCAUCUGAUACUGACAAUUUUUGUCUUGGUUUGAGACAACAUAAAAAAUAUCUAUGCACUUUGUCAUUUUCUUUAUUUUGAUGUUUCACUUACCUCAUAGAUCUAGAGGAGAUGUUCAAAAACAAGAACAAUGAGCUAAGUGGUCUCAGGGGCUGACCUAUGUGUAAUUUUGUAGUGUCCCAGCAUCCGUUGAACAUGACGUAAACAACAUAUAAUUAUAUAAGAAUUGUAAUAAAGAUUGAUAUAAGAUUUUAAAAAUGAUGGUUGAGUACUUGGUUCCAAGGUGGAAACUUAAAACCUUGGGCGUCAAUAUGUGUGUUUGAACCACCCGGACACCCACGACCCCUAGAUCCUGAAUCCACCAUUGAUGUGGUCUCAUGGUACCUAACUCAUCAAUGUAUGAAAAUCUAUGGGCUUUACAUUUUCUUUAACUAAUCAGUAUAUAAGGACCUAAAAAUCGUUGAGCCAUAUAAGCAUCUCACAUUACAUUCUUCUGCACUUUUUCUACCCCUUUCAUAACAGUACCAAGCCAAAAGGUACCUACAAAGAUGGAAGUUAAGAACAAGUAUGUAGCAAUAAAAGCCAACAUAAAUGGUGCACCAGAAGUGUCAAACUUCGAGAUAAAAGUCGAAAACCUCUCACGUAUAGUUGAGCCAGAGUCGAAGGAGGUUGUCAUCAAGAACCUGUUAGUAUCGAUUGAUCCUUAUCAGAUAAACCGGAUGAAGAGCCAAAGUUCAUCACAAACAUCGAUAAGUUAUGCAACUGCCAUUACUCCUGGCGAGGUCAUUGACACUUAUGGUGUAGGAAGAGUGUUGGUUUCUCAUCGGCCCGACUUCAAGAAAGGUGACUUGGUAGUUGGGCUACUUACCUGGGGAGAGUACACUGUUGUAAAGGAAGGUUCCCUGUUGAAUAAGCUGGAUCCUAGUCUGGCAUUUCCUUUGUCUUACCAUGUCGGAGUUUUUGGAUUCAGUGGACUUGCUGCCUAUGGUGGAUUCUUCGAAGUGUGUAAGCCGAAGCCAGGGGAGAAAGUUUUCGUGUCUGCUGCUUCUGGUUCAAUAGGACGUUUAGUAGGACAGUAUGCUAAAUUACUUGGAUGUUAUGUUGUUGGCUCUGCUGGUAGCCAAGAAAAGGUAAAUUUUCUUAAGGAGAAACUUGGAUUCAACCAUGCAUUCAAUUAAACAAGAAACUGACCUCAAAUCGGCUCUCAAAAGGUGUUUCACUCAAGGGAUCGAUGUCUACUUUGACAAUGUGGGAGGCAAGAUGUUAGAAGCAGCAGUGGCAAACAUGAAUUCACUCGGCAGAGUAGCCCUCUGUGGGGUUAUUUCUGAGCACGCGAAUGCUAGCACACAAGCUGGCCAGAUGUGAAGGAUAUAGUCUACAAGAGGAUUAGAAUCCAAGGAUUCCUAGCAGCUGAUUUCAUGCCAGUGUAUGCAGAUUUCCUGUCGAAAACAGUUGAGUACCUCCAAGAUGGAAAACUUAAGACCAUCGAAGAUAUCUCACAAGGCGUUGAAAGCAUCCCCUCUGCUUUUAUUGGACUGUUCAAUGGUGAUAAUAUAGGCAAAAAGAUUGUCAAAGUUGCAGAUGAGUGAAAAAAAGAGCAAGAAGAUUCAAGACUGUUGACCUAUUUGUUCAUGAAUUCACAAAAAAUAUCUUAUCUGUACUUCUUUCAAGUUGUAAUCCAUUUAAAUGUUCAUCUUCUGCAUCAAGUUAAAGUAAUGUUUAUGCAUUAUGCCUAUCAGAUUCUUGUGUAGUUUUCCUUUUCAUGUAUCCUAGAUUGAAACAAACUCUGUGACCCUAAGCUGUCUCAAUUCCAAAUUUAGUUGACUACAUGAAUCUUUUAUAUCAACUCAACACAGUGGAAAAAUACAUCUUUAGCAACUACUUCAAGACCACCACAAGAUAAAGCAAUAUCAAGGUCCCCAUCAACAUAGAGACCAGCUAUCAUGCCAAAUGAAUCCCGGCACUGAAAUAGCAGCAAAGUAAAGUGACAAUGGGUGUACAUAAGUUAGUUUCAAUAGAAUAACACGAUAGAAAACACUAAUGUACAAAUAUCACAGUAGAAACAAAGUUUGAGAGCAAUGGAUCACGAAGGGGAUAAACGUAUUUCCAAGUGUUACAGUAACAGCAUUAAUAUUGAACCUGCAGUCUUCCUUCCAUUCAAACAGACUGUCAACAGCCUCUGCCAAUGCAGAAUGAACAACUAGAUUCUUGUGUUUUCAAGAAAUUAUGGUCCUACAAUUGCAGCCACAGGAAGACACACAUACUAGUGAAUGCUUCAGCGUAAAGCUAUUCAUCAUUGAGGGGAAACGGUUAAAAGACACCAGAAAGAUGCAUAACCGCAGUUCCCCUGGAGAGCAAAGAACGUGCAAAAACUUGCACUCAUGACUUAUCAACUAGCAGCACUUUUCUUUCUGAAGAACUAGUUGCAAUAUCAAGGAAAAAGAAUUCCAUGAUGUGGAACCAUUAUCAUCAUAAGUAUCAUAUAACAGAUCAAUCUACAUAUAACCAUUUAUUUAAGGGAAGGAGAAGCUUGUUCAACAUUUUGUUAUGAUGAAUUUGACUUUAAGCUACCAACAAUGUGAGAUGAAAUUUAGAAGUAGGCGAGUCUCGCUCUAUACAUGCUGUUGGAGUUGUAAGGUUAACUUCAACUCUUUGAAGUAAAAAUAAAGAAAGAAAGAAGAGAACAAAUAAUUUACUGCACAAAGGUUUAUUUUUCAUUAAUCUAUAGUGGUGCUUAUAUACUAAAAAAAAUGCAAUAACUAAAGCCUAUAAUUAAUCCACUACUUUGUACCUGAUUCCAUGAUCAGCAAUAUUCAAAAAAACUACACCACUAACAUCUAAAAAUCAGCCACUAAACUAAGUUGUUGAGAACAUGGCUAAAAAAAGUUGGAUGAUGUCCAACAAUUGCUCCUACUUUUACUGCAAUAACUAAGGCAAUAAUCAACACUCCUCCAUGCUUCAAUUUCUGCAAAUUCCAAGCCUUUCUCCGAGAAAUUCAAAUCUGCUCUUUGGCAAGGCUUUGGUAAACAUAUCUGCUAGUUGAAGAUCCGUCUUGCAGUACUUUAACCCAAUCGAUCCUUCUUUUUGCAUGUUUCUAAGAAAGAAUAAUUUGAUAUUGAAAUUCUUAGUUUUUGCAUGAAAAAUAGGAUUAUUUGAGAUAGCAAUAGCUGCUUGAUUAUCCACAAACACCUUUGUGCACUUCUCUUGCAUUAAAUUAGAUCAAGUAGCACUUUUCUAAACCAUAAGGCUUGAUUUGCAGCAGCUGACCAAUUUCUUGCUUUUUAGACCACUAAGAAAAUACACCUGAACCAAGACUAAAACAAUAACCAGAAGUGCUCUUCAUGUCUUUAGAAGUUGCUCGGACUCUUCAAUUAUGUCUAUGGGUGCGUGUCGGAUCCUCCAAAAAUAGUAUAUUUUUGAAGGAUUCGACACGGGUGCAGCAACAUUUUUGGAGAGUCCGAGCAACUUAGAUCAGAAUACCCCUGCAACACGUGCUUCUGAUUUGCAUUGAACUUGAUUCCAAAAUUCAGUGUUCCCUUAACAUAUCUUAUCACCCUUUUUUCUGCUCUAAAAUGAGUGUUAGUUGCACAAUUAGUGAAUCUAGAUAAAAGACUUACAGCAUAUAAAAUGUUGGGACUAGUUGCUGUAAGAUACAUGAGACAUCCAACCAUACUUCUGUAAAGAGUCUCAUCCACUUUUUCAGCUUCAUCAUUUUUGCUCAACUUCUCCUUUUGACACAUCGGAGUAGUUGUGUCUUUGCAAUUUUCCAUUCUGAACUUCUUCAAACUGUCUCUUGCAUACUUCUUUUGACAAAUGAAAACUUCAUUUUGCUCUUAAGCCUUAGAAACAGUGCUAUAACCCACAAAUAUUCCAGCUUCCGCCUUUUUAUCAAGCUUAUCUCUUUUACUCUGUGGCACAUAUGUAAAGCACACACAUCCAAACACUGAGAGAUUUUUUUAAAAAGGUGUAAAACCAUACCAGAUUUCAAAUGGUGUCUUUCAUUCUAAUGCUUUUGUUGGAAGCCUGUUGAGUAGAAAGACUAAGACUGGUGUAUGAGUAGUUUCUGCCCAAUACUCUUUUGGUAAACAUUUCUCAUGCAACAAGCAUCGAGCUAUCUCCAUUAUGGUACGAUUCUUCCUCUCACUAACUCUAUUUUUCUGUGGAGUAUAUGCAGCAGUGAGUUGGUGUUCAAUUCCAGCUUCUUCACAAAACGCAUUGAAUUGAUCAAAUGUAUACUCCUUGUCGUUGUCGGACCUUAUAAUUUUACAGCCACUUUGAGUUACAAUCCACUGCUUGAAUUUCCAAAAAAUAGUGGCAACCUCUGACUUGAACCUAAGAAAAUAAAUCCAACACAUUCUCGUAUAGUCAUCGAUGAAAACAAUGCAAUACUUACUACCUUUGAGUGACGGAGUUCGUUGAGGACCAGCCAAAUCUGUGUGGAUUAAUUUUAGCUUUUCAAUGGCUCUCUAGGUUGCUUUCUUGAAAGGCAGCCUUGCAUGUUUGCCAAAUUGACAAGUUUUGCAAUCUGCUAUUUCGACUUCAAGAUUAGGUAGCCCUCGAACCAGAUCUUUCUUUUGUGAGUUAAUUACAGCAGCAUGAUUGAAAUGUUCGAAUCUUUUGUGCCAAACUUGUGCAUUAAUCUUAGUUGCAGAGUAAGCUUUUUUGCUCAUGAUCUAAAAGAUCCUAUGUAAAGCUCCUUCCCUUCAUCAUUACCUUGAAUAAGUUCCUGCCAUCUUCAUCAUUGAUUUGACACUAAUUUGAUUCAAAGAGAAGUUUGAAACCAUUCUCAAGCAUCUGCCCAACACUUACCAGACUAUGGCUAAUAUUAGGUACAAAAAACACAUCUUUGAUUGGUUUUGUACCUAAGGAGUAUUUCAUUUCCACAGUACCUUUACCUUCAGCAAAAAUAUAGUCUCCAUUACCAACUUGUACUUUGGAAAUUACCGAAGUAUCCAAUUUCUUGAAGAGAUCAUGAUCAAAUGUCAUGUGGUUUAUGCAACCACUGUCAAUAAGCCACUUAUCACUCGAGCAGCUAGUUGCCGAAUAUGUCAUUACAAAGAGCUGCUCUUCAUCUUUCUAAUUAGCUACCUAUGCAGCAUUAGUCUGCUGAGUGUUGUUCUUGCAAACCUUCUGAUGAUGUCCCAUCUGCUGACAUUUCUCACACUGUUGGUCUGACCUUCUCCAGCAUUUGAACGGUGGAUGACCCUUCUUUCCACAAUGCUUUCAAGGAGGAAAAUCAUGUUUCACUUCCCUAUUGAUCCCAGGAGAAUGAGAACUUGAGUUUUCCUUCUUGUUCAACUUCUUCUUUCCUCGAUUUGAUUAAACUUUUGCAGGUAGUAAACCCUCAAUCGAUCUUUCGGACCUCAUAAGUCUUCUCCGUUCUUGUACCUACAAAGCAUUCAAUAGUUCUCCCAAACUAAUCUGUGACAGAUCCUUAGUAUUUUCCAGUGCAGAAAUAGUUGUUUCAAACCUUUCAAGGACUAUUACUGGAACUUCUUGAACCAAUCUAGAAUCAGAAAAUACAGAGCCAAGUAAUCUUACAUUGUUGGCAAUGUUGAGUAAUCUAUCAGAAUACUCUUUGAUUAUCUCCAAAUCCUUCCUCUUUAACAGCUUCCCACAAAUUGUUUUUGUAACGCCUCGAUUUUCUGAACCGAAACGCUACACGGUGCUCAUGACCCGAAGGACCACAAGCUAACCCAUGACUGAUAUCUGUACCUGUAAAUUGCAUAAUAUCUCAUAAAAUAUACGGAAACAUGAACUGUAAGGCCAUAAAGUUCAUUACUGAUACAUAUCUGAAAAAUAUGGUAUAACAAUACCAAAAAGAAACAUAAAUACUGAAGUCUGAACAUCUAAUCUGACAUCUAGUCCGAAAUCCUCUAAUUGAACUGAAUAAGGAGUUGAAGGAACAUGUCUCCAACUAACUCUAUGAACUGAAAAACUAAUCUGAAAUACUGCAAUAAAGUAAUAAUAAUAUUGUCCUCGAAUGAAGAGGAGCACUAACGGCUGAAAUCUGCAAUGCUACUGCUGCUCUGAAACUCGUGCCUCUGUACCUAUGGCAUCAAAUAAAACACCAUAGCGCGAAUGCAUCAGUACGACUGAAUGUACUGAGUAUACGAGCGAGGUAGGCUAAAUGCAAAGGGUUUUAUAUGCAUAAACAAUGCUGACUAAUAUGAACGUGAGAAUAUAUACAUACAUACAUACAUACGUAACUGCAACUAAACUCGUGGUGAUACUGACGACUGAGUCUGAAUACUGGAAAUAUGAGUUUACUGAUGCUGAGAUACUGAAUGACUAAGUUUACUGAUAUUGAGAUACUGAAUGACUGAGUUUACUGAUAUUGAGAUAUUGAAUGACUGAGUUUACUGAUAUUGAUAUGUAAUUCACUAAUAAGUGAGGAACUGAUACUGUAUUACUGAAUACUGGGAGACUGAUACUAUAUUACUAAUAAGGAAUGAUUGUUUCUGAUAAUUCUGAUUAUGAAGAACUAAUUUGAUUGAUCGUAUAUAACAGUCCUGGAACUGAGCUCAUGAUAACAUGACUAUUGAGUAUGAAUACUGAUGACAUGUAUUUACUGAUAACAUAUCAUGAAUGAUAACUGAAUUCUGAUAACUGAUAGUAUGAAUGACUGUAUCUGACAGUCCUAGAUCUAAUGGAACUAGCUGAGUUCCGUAUUGUAUCUGAGUUGACUGUAUCUGACAGUCCUGAUAUCCUGAAGAACUAUCUGAGUUCUUUUACUGAGACUAAUAUUGAAACUGUGGGAAGUAGUUAUCUAAUCGACAUGCCCCAAAUAUGCUAAAAUAUAUAAGCUGGGGUCCAAUCUCUACCCUGAUUGGAAGGGUGUCAAUACCGCGCCACUGGUAAGGACAAGCUGUGAGUGACCCUCAUCUAGCAGGUACUCUAAUGAGAACGGUGGAAACCCUCAUCUGCCAGGUUAAGCCACCUCAUCUACCCUCAACUGAUGGGUAUUGAUGUCUCAACCUAUGCUGGCUACAUAGUUCUAGAACGCAAGGACUGCUUCUAAGAAUCACACUCUCUACUGGUAGGUGAGUUCCUAUCCUUGGGUUCGCUCGGUGCUGAAUCCUACUCCCAACUGAAUGACACUGAACUAAUUAUACUAAAUUGAUUUCCUAGUUCGUACUAGAAUUAACUGAACUGUUACUGAUCUGUUUAACUGAACUGGACAUGGACUGAGUUUAUUAAGUUACGAUGCCUAGCGGAACACUACUGAAUUCUGUUAACUGACUAAAUGCUAUUGAGUUCUGUUAGCUGACUGAAGUCUACUGAACAUGGCUUGACUGAGAGUAUCGUGAAAACAUGACAUGGCUCUAGGCACACAGCUAUAUUUUUCGGGUACGAAUACCUCCAAGACUCGAUGGAAGGAAACUGACAUGACUUGACAUACAAGAGUACUUGACCAACAUUAACAGUCCAUAAUAUAGCAUCUAUGGGAGAUUCAUAAAUCAUGUGGUUUUCAUAACCUUUUCAUAUAGCUAACAUCAUGGUCAAUUCUAAUAUCAUGACAAGCCAACAACAUAUUCAUAGCACAUUAAUAGCAUAGAAAUCAUCUUGAUCAAGUAGACAUGACAUAACUGAAGAGACAUGGCAAAAUCUUNNNNNNNNNNNNNNNNNNNNNNNNNNNNNUCAUUAUUUAUUCGUUGAGGCACAUUAUCAAACACAUGGUAGGCAUAGCUUUAGCAUGGAAGUCAACUUAAGCACAUGGAUAUGGCAUGGAAUCAUCAUUUAUAUCACAAAUAGGUCAAAGUUCUCAAUUCUUCUUCACUUAGGCAUUUACAAACACCUUGCAUGCACUAUUUAGGGCAUAGGCCUAAUGAUCAAUUUUAUACACCAUAACACCAUAAUUCAACUCAAUUUCACCAAUUGAAUCAACAAAAUAUCAUGGUAUCUCGAACAACAUGUAAAGAUUCAAACUUUAUUCACACAACAUGGAAUUCACGUGAAAUCAUAAAAUAUGGAGUAAGGACUUGUUAAUUGAGCACUCUUAAAUCAUGAAAACAUGAUUAUGCCUAUUCUAGGCAUUUCGUCGAACACCUUGCAUGAACACUUUAUGGCAUAGGUGUUCUUAAUAAUUUAGUCAUCUUAAACCACCCAAUNNNNNNNNNNNNNNNNNNNNNNNNNNNNNNNNNNNNNNNNNNNNNNNNNNNNNNNNNNNNNNNNNNNNNNNNNNNNNNNNNNNNNNNNNNNNNNNNNNNNNNNNNNNNAAGAAAUUCUUAGACAUGUUCUUGAUUCCUUGACUAGGGUUCUUGUUCCUUUGAGAGAAAAUAAAUUGGCUCUUGAGUUUGAAAAACUUGAAUAUCAUAUAUUCUUGAAGACGGAUUUGAUUCUUGUUAUAGGUUAUGAUCUUGAGAGAAACCCUUCUUUUGAUGUUGAAGAUAAAUGAGGAGUUAUGUUCUUUAAUUGAUUGGAUUUGAGUCUUCAAAUUGAAACCCUAGCUUGAGUUCUUGAGAGUAUUUUGAGAAGAGGAGUAUAUUUUGUUACAAAUAAGCCUUAAUCCCUUGUUUGGGGUAUAUAUAGGGGUGGAAGAUGACCAAGAUACCCCUAAGGAACAAUUAAGGUUAAAUCUGUCCCUAAUUGACUGUCUGAAAGGCUGAAAAAAAUUGAUCAUAACCUUUUAUUUAGAUGUACAAAUGGGAUGAAACUAAUUUCAUUGGAAAGGAGACUCAAAGAUCUUUCCAUUGAUAUAUAGAAUCUCUCACAGUUCAUUAUAUAUUGGGAGUUAUCAUCGUUUGAAGUUGACUCUGAAAUGCUGAAAAAAUUGGGCAAGCACUGGAGUUAGUAGGCUGCGCGGGCUAAUCGUCCGGGGCUUCUGUUUUGUGCACCCAAACAUGCCUUUACGCUACUCCAAAAAUUAUGAAACUCACCCGGGAUAUAUUACGAUCUUUCCCGAUCGUAACUCAACUUGAAAAUUAAAAAACGGUCGUCGGGAAGGUCGCCAAAUAAAUCCCCAAAGUUUGGAGGUCUAAAAUAAAACUAAGUGUUGAAUCUUGAACACUUAGCAAAAUUUUCUAAGUCUUGGGAUCUUUCAUGGAGCUUUACGAGCUGAAUUUGACACGUGAUUUUGUGGGGUAUUACAAUAUCUCUCCCUUGGGAAUAUUCGUCCUCGAAUGAGACUGACUGAGAGGGGAAAAUGAUAAACUGGAGUACGUACAAGAAAUUCACUACUGAGACAUGGGUUCAUGACUGACAUGAUUGAAAAUUGAGCAUAUUAUAUUGAACAUGCACAUCUGAUGCAUGGGUAACUAGUUUAUGAAUGAAGGACUGAGUGUUCUGAUAAACUGAGUUUCUCAAAUGGGAAUGCAUAUCUGAUGCAUAACUGAUAAGCUGAAUCCAUGUAUAUCUGAUACAUGAAUACAUGACUGAAAGUGUGGAUAAGCUGAUCACACAUAACUGAUGCGUGAAUACAUGACUGAACUGGCUCGUGAACAUGCGACUGAACAUACAAUGGUAAAAGAUACUAAGUUUUGAACUAAAAGCUGGGCAUGGAACUAAAUACCAAGUUUGGUACUGAAAUCUGAACAUGAGAAUGAGUAAGUUCAAGGAAGACUGUUACGUUGAACUGGAAAUAACAGUGAGUCUGAGAUUAAUUACUCAAUAGGCAUGAGCGGGAACAUGAGGACGUAACUGAGCCUGAAACAUGAUACAUAAACGAACUGAGCUUGCAUCUGCUGAAAACUCAUGGUCGACAGGAGCCUUUCUUUAACACCCUUUCUUUAACUCUCUUUCUAUAGAGUUCUAGUGGCUCUAGAUUGCAAGGAAAUCUUGGUGUGGUCUGUCCCUAAUUGACUGUCUGAAAGGCUGAAGUAAAUUGAUCAUAACUUUUUAUUUAGAUGUCCAAAUGGGAUGAAACUAAUUUCAUUGGAAAGAAGACUCAAAGAUCUUUCAAUUGAUAUAUAGAAGCUCUCACAUUUCAUUAUAUAUUGGGAGUUAUGAUCAUUUGAAAUUGACCCUGAAAUGCUGAAAAAACUGGGCAAGCACUGGAGUUAGCAGGCUGCGCGGGCUAGUCGCCCGGGGCUUCUGUUUUGGGCACCCAAACAUGCCUUUACUCUACUCCAAAAAUUCUGAAACUCACCCAGGAUAUACUAAGAUCUUUCCCGAUCGUAACUCAACUUGAAAAUUGAAAAACGAACGUCGGAAAGGUCUCCAAAUAAAUCCCCAAAGUUUGGAGGUCUAAAAUAAGACUAAGUGUUGAAUCUUGAACACUUAGCAAAAUUUUUUAAGUCUUGGGAUCUUUCAUGGAGCUUUACGAGCUGAAUUUGACACGCGAUUUUGUGGGGUGUUACAGUUUGCAUCCAUAUAUGCCUCCAUUCUUGCUGCCUAGACAUGAUAGCCUUCACCUUUAAAGACAGGUGGUGCUAGUGCAGUGAAAGGAGUCUCUGAAUCCAUAGAAGAAAAAACAAGAAGAGAAAGAUAUGUUUCCCUCAAAUGCAGGUCCCUAAAGAAGACAUCUCUUGAUACCAAUUUGUUGGAGUUGUAAGGUUAACUUCAACUCUUUGAAGUGAAAACAAAGAAAGAAAGAAGAGAACAAAUAAUUUACUGCACAAAGGUUGAUUUCUCAUUAAUCUAAAGUGGUGCUUAAAUAGUAAAAAAAAUGCAAUAACUAAAGCCUAUAAUUAAGCCACUACUUUGUACAUGAUUCCAUGAUCAGCAAUAUCCAAAACAACUACAACACUAACAUCUAAAAAUCAGCCACUAAACUAAGUUGAGAACAGGGCUAAAAAAUGUUGGAUAAUAUCCAACAAUUGCUCCUACUUUUACUACAACAACUGAGGCAAUAAUCAACACAUGCACAUCGUCAUAACAUUAGUACAUCACAAAAGAACUGUCAAAACAGGGAAAGCUCACCUUUCUUCAUUGCACUCCAUGUAGUAGGCAGAGGGUGGAAUAGCAGUUUGGUUGUUCCAAACACAGCGUUUUCACUUCCUGAAAGUUCAAUAAUACGGAACAGUUAACAGAAAACCUCAUUGACAUCUCCUAUGACAAGUAAAAGCAGUGUUGAUCUAGAAAGCAUCACAUGAACAGCUAGCUCCGUCAUAGCUAACAUUAUAACAUGUUCUAAACACAAGUUGCUGUCCGUGUUUGAGCAAAAAAAGGAGCUCAUUUCCCUACAUUUGAAUAUGUCGAAGGUUCUUUAAUUCACGCUGUAAGCAGUGAACACGAACAAAUAAAAGGUAGUUAAGUAAUCUGAAGUCCAGACUGCAUGAAAGUUAACAUUUGUCCCCCGUAUUGUUUCCACUAAAUGUACAAUUAGAGAUAUGUUCGCUACGUUUCAUUUCAAUUUUCACCCCUAUUUCCUCAAUUUAGUGCCACACAGGAUGAAAAUCAACAAAUUGAAUCUCAACAAAAAGUAAAUCCAGAUGUGUUAAAUUCUUGAAAUAAAAUCCCUGCAGGUAUUAGCAAAUUUUCCUUGCUAAUCCACACGCGGCUACAUUGACUUCGGCCAGAUUGCACAAAAUCGUGCUGAUACAUUGAUAUCAAACAAAAUCGACAUUCCGUCAAGGCUAUCAGUUUCUUACAAGGUGAUAAUUUAUAUGGACGGGGAAUAUUACUUAAACUCACACAAGUACUUAAUAGAUUUCUUAAAACACACGCACACACAACAGGUUACUGAAUUACGUACACACAUAAGUGGGUUACAAGAUAAUCUGUUUAAAUUGUCUUGUUCUUAGCCAUUUCUAUACGCAUUGAUACUUAACGAUAGUGAUAAUCUUGCUGCUAAUGACAGUUUUUGUCUUGGUUGAGACAGCAUAAAACAUCUCCAUGCACUGUCAUUUUCAUUAUUUUGAUGUUUCACCUACCUCAUAAAUCUAGAGGAAAUAUUCAAAAACAAGAACAAUGAGCUAAGUGGUCUAAGGGGCUGCAAUUUUGUAGUACCCCCGCAUCCAUUAACACGAUGCAAACUAGGUAUAAUUAUACAAGAAAUGUAUAAAAAUUGGUAUAGGAUUUAAAAAGGAAUGCUGGAAACCAAGAUGAUAGUUAAGUGCAUUGUUUCCAGGCGGAACCUUAAAGCCUUGGGGGUCAAUAUGCGUGUUCGAACCUCCCCGACACCCACGAUCCCUAAAUCAUGAAUCCACCACUGAUGUGGUCUCAUGAUACCAAACUCAUCAAUAUAUGAAACAUCUAUGACCUUUACAAUUUCUUUAAUUUGAUGUUGCAGCCUGCCACAUUAAUCUAAUGGACCUUUUCUAAUAAAAAACAGUGAGCCAACUGGUCCAAUAAUGCCUAACUAAUCAGUAUAUAAGGACCUAAAAAUAGUUGAGCCAUAUAUGCAUGUCACAUUACAUUCUUCUGCACUUUUUUCUUCCCCUUUCAUAAUAGUACCAAGCCAAAAGGUACCUACAAAGAUGGAAGUUAAGAACAAGUAUGUAGCAAUAAAAGCCAGCAUAAAUGGUGCACCAAAAGAGUCAGACUUUGAGAUAAAAGUCGAAAACCUCUCACUUAUAGUUGAGCCAGAGUCUAAGGUGGUGGUUGUCAAGAACCUGUUUGUAUCAAUUGAUCCCUAUCAGAUAAACUGGAUGAAGAGCCAAAGUUCAUCACAAACAUCGAUAAGAUAUGCAAAUGCCAUUACUCCUGGAGAGGUCAUUGACACUUAUGGUGUAGGAAGAAUGUUGGUUUCUCAUCGGCCCGACUUCAAGAAAGAUGAUUUGGUAGCAGGCUUUCUUACCUGGGGAGAGUACACUAUAGUAAAGGAAGGUUCCCUGUUGAAUAAGUUGGAUCCUAGUCUGGCGUUUCCUUUGUCUUACCAUGUUGGAGUUUUGGGAUUCAGCGGACUUGCUGCCUAUGGUGGAUUCUUCAAAGUGUGCAAGCCGAAGCCAGGGGAGAAAGUUUUAGUGUCUGCUGCUUCUGGUACAAUCGGACAUUUAGUAGGACAGUAUGCUAAAUUACUUGGAUGUUAUGUUGGUGGCUCUGCUGGUAGCCAAGAAAAGGUAAAUUUUCUUAAGGAGAAACUUGGAUUCGACGAUGCAUUCAAUUAUAAACUAGAAGCUAACCUCAAAUCAGCUCUCAAAAGGUGUUUCCCUAAAGGGAUUGACGUCUACUUUGACAACGUCGGAGGCAAGAUGCUAGAAACUGCAUUGUCAAACAUGAACUCACUGGGCAGAGUAGCCAUCUGUGGGGUUAUUUCUGAGUACACGAAUGCUAGCACACGAGCUUCCCCGGAAAUGUUGGAUAUAGUCUACAAGAGGAUUAGCAUCCAAGGAUUCCUAAUAGCUGAUCUCAUGACAGUGUAUGCAGAUUUCCUGUCGAAAACAGUUGAGUACCUCCACGAUGGAAAACUUAAGGCCAUCGAAGAUAUCUCACAAGGCGUUGAAAGCAUUCCCUCUGCUUUUAUUGGAAUGUUCAAUGGAGAUAAUAUAGGCAAAAAGAUUGUCAAAGUUGCAGAUGAGUGAAAAAAAGAAAAAGAAGAUUCACGGCUGUUGGCCUAUACAUUCAUGAAUUCGCGAACAAUAUCUUAUCUGUACUUCUUUCAAGUUGUAAUCCAUUUAAGCAUUCAUCUUCUGCAUCAAGUUAAAGAACAAGUUUACGUAUUAUGCCUAUCUGAAUCUUGUUUAGUUUUCCUUUUCAUGUAUCCAGGAUUGAAACAAACUCUGUGAUCCUAGUCUACCAACUAUGCCUCAAUCCCAAAUUUUUUAUAUCAACUCAACAAAGUGGAAAAAUACAUCUUUAGCAACUACUUCAAGACCACUAUAAGAUAAAGCAAUAUCAAGGUCCCCAUCAACAUAGAGACCAACUAUUAUGCCAAAAUGAACCCGGGUACUGCAAUAGCAGAGAAGUAAAGUGACAAUGGUUGUACGUAAGUUAGUUUCAAUAGAAUAACAUGAUGGAAAACACUAAAUGUACUAGUAUCACAGUAGAAACAAAAUUUGAGAGGAAUGGAUCAGGAAGAGGAUAAACGUAAUACCAAGUGUUACAUUAACGGCAUUAAUCAUGAACCUGCAGUCAUCCUUCCAUUCAAACAGACUGUCAACAGCCUCUGCCAACGCAGAAUGAACAACUAACUUCUUGUGUUUUCAAGAAAUUAUGGUCCUACAAUUGCAGCCACAGGAAGACACACACAUAGUAGUGAAUGCUUCAUCGUAAGGCUAUUCAUCCUUGACGAGAGCGGUUAAAAGGCACCACAAAGAUGCAUAACCACAACUCCCCUGGAGAGCAAAGAACGUGCCAAAACUAGCACUCAUCAACUUGCGACACUUUUUUUUUUGGGAGAACUAAUUGCAAUAUAAGGAAAAAGAAUUCGAUAAUAUGGACUAUUAUCAUCACAAGUAUCAUGUGACAGAUCAACAUCUAGUUCAGAUUGAUCUACAAAAGCCACACAUUCAAGGGAAGGAGAAGCUUGUUCAACAUUUGUUAUGAUGAACUUGACUUUAAGCUACCAAUAAUGUGAGACGAGAUUUAGCAGACAGGUAACUCUCGCUACAUACAUGCACAUGGUAUGGUAAUAACAUCAGUACAUUACAAAGGAACUGUAGAAACAGGGAAAGCCCGCAUUUCUUCAUUGCGUUCCAAGCAGUUAGCACAGAGAGUGAACUAGCUGUUCGGUUGUUCCUAACAUAGCUUUUUCACUUCCUGAAAAUUCAAUUAGACAGAUUAGUUAGCUGAUAACUGCAUUGACAUCUCAUAUGACAAGUAAAAGCAGUAAUGAUCAAGAAAGCAACACAUGAAGAGCGAGUCCCGACACAGUCUACAUUUAAAGUGUAUUAAACACAAGCUGCUGGCCUUGUUUGAGCAUAAAAGACGAGCUGCAUUUCCCUACAUUUAAAUAUGUCGAAGGCUCUUUAGUUCAUGUUGUAAGCAGUGAAGAUGAACAAAUACAAGGUAGUUGGAUAACCUCAAGCUAGACUGCAUGAAAGUGGUGUAUAAAUGGUAUACUUAGUAUGACAAAUCCCAUAAGAAAAUAAAAAUGAACAAAGAGAUGCUCAUCCUGAUUCCAGUGCAACAUAUUGACCGGCCCAAAAAUGGGUAAUUUGAUUCAGAUCUGGAACACUUCACAGAAAGCAUGACCCUCCCACUACUAAAAAAGACCAAAAAAUGACGGCCAAAAGUGAAGGACAAUGUCGUUUUUUUGGACAACGUUGCUUUUUGCAAACGAUGGCCUGCGUCGCUUUUUUUACCGCGGACAAAGUCGUUUUUUGAAAAAAAAAAAAAGAUCUUUUUAGAAAAAGCGACGUUGUGCGUGGUUUUUUGUUCUUCAUGUGUAGAAUAAAUAAUGAAUAAAAAACGAUGGACAUUGUCAUUUUAUUGAAGAAAAAUAUUUUUUUUUUAGAAAAACCGACAACGUCCGUCGCUUUUCUAUAUUUUUUUGAAUGCAGAAAUCGGCAUUUUCUGCAUUCCACCUGCCAAAUAAAAAUGCAAUUCAAUAUGUACGGCCCCUGACAACACACAUUACUAAAAUAAUCAUACAACACACUACAUCAUCAAAACAUUUAAGCAAUUCAAUUAAACAACAUCCAAAACACUUAACAAUUAAUCCAACAACAUCAAAACACUUAAGUGAUCUUGAAGGUUUUCCAAUAGUUAAAAGUUAAAAGAAUGUUUAAAAAGUGUCUAGAAGCCAAAUCCAAAAACACUAAGGAGUAGCCCCAACAAACUCCUCAUCACUUUCUCCUCAUCACUUUCUGUUUCUUCUUCGCUACUUGAAUCGGGAGAUGGAGAACGGUGACGACAACGAUGAGUCAUGCUAACCAUUUGUUUCUUAAGUUCCUCGAUGGUCAUGCACAUGACUUCAGUUUGAGCAACAGAUUGUGCCACGACGCGUGUAAGCUGUGCAAUUUGUUGCGACAUAUCAGCGAGCUGAACACCAUUAAUCGCCUCAGCCUGGCGCGAGGAACCAAUACCAGCCCAUCCAACCUCGAAGCGUUGCAAUUCAUUUCGAGAACCCAACCCAUAGGUUCUCCCCUUGUCUUCCUCCCGCCACUUUUUCGGUCCGAAUUUGAAUAGCUUCCUCCUAUGUAGGCUCGAUUGGACCAAACUCAGACACGUAGCGUGUAUAUUCAUUCUGCAUAUUAAAAAGGACACGUUAGUAAAUUUUACUAUUACUAAGUAAGGUGGAGCAUAACGUAAAUUUUAAUAUGUUUUGCUUACAUAUUGAAUACAAAAAUAAAUAAGAAAUCAACUUUUUUUUCCUAAACAUUAUUUUAAAGCUAACUUUUGCUUUCCAUCAAAUCUAAUUCGACAAGAAUUUCCACACACAACCCUUUGACUUUUUAAAAUUUGUUCCUCGUAUUGUUUCCACAAAUUGUACAAUUAAAGUUAGCAUGGCUACGUCUCAUUUCAUCCUAUUUCCUCAAUGUAGUGCCACAAAAAGGAUCCAAAUCAACAAACAAUAAGUAAAUCCAUGUUAGUCAAAUUCUUGAAACAAUUUUCCUACAAGGAUUAGCAAAAAUCGUUCGAUAACACUUCUUCCUAUUUCUUUCUCAAUGAUAUCCGACGAUCAAUUUUCCUUGCAAGUACAUACUCGGUACAUUGACCUCGGUCAGAUUUCAGAAAAUUAUGCUAAUACGUUGAUAUCAAACAAAAUAGACCUUCCGAGAAAUGCAUUAAACAAGCCUAUUAGUAAUUUGUACUUGGUGAUACAUCACCAUAGCAUUGAAGAGUUCUUGGAAAGGUCAAGUUACAGAUAUGAUUUGCUACGGUAUUUAGCAACAAGAUAGAGAAUUACUUACAGUAGGGAGACAACUUGUUUAAAAUAACAAAGAAGAGGAGAAUUGAGCUUUAGUAAUUAGAAGAAAGCAUCGCAUUAAACAACGCUUUAAAUCCCAAUAGAUUUAUCUAGAUUCCCCUGUUCAUUGGCAUCUCCAAUCUACACUAGUGAUAAAAACAGUUUAAUGUGUUUCCUCAAUCCUUUUCUCCUUCCAACCCACUUUUCUUCAUGACAACUUUAUUACCAAACUGCGAGAAGAUUUAAAUUGACCAAAUAUGCAACAGAAUGAGAAGAUAGACCUGGAGAAAAUUAUCAGUAAGCUAUAAGCAGCAACGAAAAGGACCAAAUUAGAUAGUAUCUCCUACUUUAACUCUUAUUCAGUAAUGCCACUAUUUCGUAUUUUUCCCUGUUAAGUUUCACCUAAGAAGACAAGUAAAAGUAGGUGCGAGAUCAAACACUAGCACGGGUUAGGCACAUUAUGCUGCCAUGAUUUCUGUGUCCGUGGUCCCCUUUAUGAUUACUCUAUCUAGAGGCCGAAUCGACCCCCUUAUAAAGCUUCUCAAGAAGAACACUAAAAUUAGUCCAGAAGAAAAACACAGAUUAUGUAGAUUGUAAUACCUGAAGAAAAAUACAGCUAGUAACUAGAAGCAAUGAGAAAACCAAAACAAAUCCAGAAGAAACUAAGCAGUUAGCUACCUAUUAGCUGCAAUGAGAAAAGCGAAAAUCAGAUACUAGGAAGACCGUAAUAUCGAUUCCAAAAGUAUCGAGUUUCCGCUUUAUGCCUCAUUAGGUUUCACCAAUAAAAGAUUAAUUAAAGAAGCCACUAGAUCAAACAAUAACCCUGGGAAGGACCUCAGCUUUAUCGGUGCAUUCACAUGCCAAACGUUCUAUGUUCAUGGUGCUCUUACUCCGACUAGAGGCAUAACAUUCUUUAAAACACCGCUGAACAAGAGAAAAGAUGUCCAACAUCAUUUAGUUCAAAGUCAAAGACAAAUUUAUUGUUCCUUGAAGAUAGUGCAUAAAGGAAAAAAUGACUAACAAGAUCUCGAAGCAAUACGGUUUAAAGAUGUCUUUUACAUAUGCAUUGUCUUGUUCUGUAUGCGAAAUAACAAUACGAACUUAACAGCAAUUGAGGAAAACAAAGUAUACUUACAAGUUCUUUGUCACUUGGUUUUCUUUGAUUGGAGUUUUUUCAGCCUUUUGUGUUUUGUUGCAUCUGCAGCCUCUUCUUUAGAAAAAGGACAAACUAGACUUUCAACGUAGAUUGCUAUCUUAGGAAACUCAUCAAAAUCAAUAACCUCUGAAUAUCUAAAUGAAGAAUCCUUCAGCUUGUAUAUCAUGGAAUAUUUAACAAACCUGAAAAAAAUUUCACCUUUGUUUGACAUGAAACAAGGCAGAUAAAAAUCACACCGCGGUGUAUCAAAAGGAUAAUUGACGGUUAACAUCUUUGUCCAAGAUUGUUUAACCCCAUACUCCUUCAUAACCCAAAAAUCUACAUGAGAGGUCGCAUUAUCACAAAAAAUGGAAAGAUCACUUCCCAACACUCCCAAAUACAAAUGAAUAUAUCCCUCUUUGUAGCAAGGAUGCUCCACUUCUCCCCAUUUCUCGUUAGCCAAAUCAAACGAUAUGAUGUUCCAUUCCUUAUAGUCACUUAUCAAACAUUCACCUUAGCAUUAGGCCAGUGAAGUUUCCCCUUCACUAAGAUAUCUGAAAUGUAUACUUCCUCUCGACUUUUACACUUCCUCAAUUGACAAUCGUCAACACUUCCCCAAGAAUCACACUUUAGACUAUAUAGUUUGAGCUCACCUCGAUCGAACUUUACCUUUUCUACAAAAGGUACCCAAUAACUUAUAAUCAUCAUGAAACUUAUCAUAUCCAAAACCAUACACGAGCGCUUUAUCAAACCACAAUGUAGCUCUAGGACAAGGUAAUUUUUUGUACUUUCUAUUCGAUGGAUUCCAUAGAAACAAAUUAUAUUUAGAAUCCACAAGACAAAUCAAUCCAUUGAUAGAACUUAGAAUUGUUAUAUAACUAGGCAAUUCAUUGUACAACCCGUCGGAUAUCAUACGAUGACCCAAGUCAGAUACCUCCGUAACAGAAUCAUUAAAUAAAGAAUCAAGAUUACAAUCUUAAAUAUUCACCCCCUGUAUAGAAUUCCACAUCACCCUAUGUUGGGUAUAACUACUAAGAUGAGUUUGGAUAAAUUCGGGGCUCGAGAUUAAAGCAAGCCAAGAUUUCGAAACACACCUGAAUUGCAAGAGGGACAAAACUCAACAUACGCUUAUAAUGUAGAUGCUCAUUAUUAUUAUCAGAUACAAUAAAAUGUGUAUUAUUAAAUUCGGGGCUAGAGAUUUAGCAAGCCAAGAUUUCGAAACACACAAACUCAACAUAAGCUUAUGAAGUAGAUACUCUUCUUACUACUCCCUCCCCUGACAAUAUUUGUCCACUACACUAAAAUUAAAAAUAAAUGUCAAACAAUACUUGUCUGGUUUAAAAAUCAAUGAAUAAUUUACCCUUUUCUACCCACUUUACCCUCGCUAUUAAAUACUAUUCAUCACUCAAUACAUUUUUCAAAAUAUUAAAGUUAUUACUCCUUCCGUCUAUUUUUACUUGUCCACUUUUCUUAUUAUUUUGGGAUGUGCAACAAUACUUGUCCAAUUUACAAAACCAAUGGUAUUAAAUAUAAUACAUCUCUCAUUUCAUUUUUGAAAGCAAAAAAAUUAUUAUAUUCAAAAGGUGACAUAGUAAAAUCACCCCUCCAUUUAUCGUUUCAAGGUACGUGCCAAGUAAAAAGUGGAUAAGUAUUUACGGACAGAGGGAGUGUAUUCAAAUUUUAUCCUUACUAUUAGAUACUACUCAUCACUCAAUACAUAUUUCAAAAUAUUAAAUUUAUUAUAUUCAAACAGUAAUAUCGUAAAAUUACCCCUAUUAUAUAUUAUUUCUUAACAUGCAUGCCAAUACAGGUAUUGUUGGACAGAGGGAGUAAUAUAUUCGGGGCUAAAUAUUAAAGCAAGCCAAGAUUUCUAAACAUACCUGAAUUUCAAAAGGGAUGAGUUCAGCCGGCAGAAGAGGGAUUGUAAAGUUCAAAUCUUGCAUUGAAUUUGAUGGAAAUCCAGCAGAUUUUGUGCGCUUCUUCCAUUUUUGGUGUUGAGAGUAGGCUUUAUCUUCCUCAUUUUCCAUUUGGGCGCCACAAAUUUGAGUGAAAUUUUCGCAAAGUUUAUAGUAGUCAGCUGUGGAUCGAAUUCGACAUGGGUCGGGUCGGGUAUAUUGGGAAUAGUGGGUUCUCUCUUCAAAAUUGGAUAUCUUUAGGCAAUUUGGGGUUUUUCGUUUAUCUAGAGUAUGGGUAACACAUUUAUUAAUUGUGAGUCAGGUAGACGAUUUGUAAAAAUUGAUCGUAUUUUUGAAAAUAACUUCUUCUAUUUUAUUUUAUUGAAUACUUGGCGCAUAACUUUAUUUGAUUAUUUAAUACUAUGGUAGUAUGGAAAAUAAAUAAUAGAAUACUCUUGAUUUGUAAAAAUAAAUAAGUAAAUUAAAAUUUUCUUGACUUCUGAUUUUGAAUACAAUUCUUUUAAUUUUGAAAUUGUGGGGUCUAAACGACCAAUUUUAAAUGAAAAAUUGGGCGUGUUGUAGCAUAGGCGUUUAGGUCAUAUCUCUAAAUACAGAGUUGAUAGAUUGGUUAAGUCUAAUAUUUUACCUUCUCUUGAUUUUGGGGACAUAGGAACAUGUAUUGAUUGCAUUAGAGGAAUGAUACAAAAGUGAGUGUGUAUCAAUAGAGUCAAGCCAACACAAGAACACAAGAAUAACAAGAUGAACAACAACAAUGUUAGUGAAUCGAAAUAGGCCACACACGGCUUCACUAGACUUCAAGGUUUACAAAAACAAUAAGAUGAUAGAGAUUACAAUAACAACAAGAAGAGCGACAAAGUGACAUCAACUAUAGUGAAUCGAAAAUAGCCCCACACGGCUUCACUAUGUUACCAUACAAACAACAAGAUUACAAAAUUAAAGAUAGUAACUUGACAUACAAUAUUCAAGAAUCUAAGAACCCUAACAACAUGAAAGGACCCUAAGAUUAAAGAAUAUUAUCACCAAGCUCUUACUUGGACCAAGAGGAACUCAAUGACCUCAAGAUCCUAGUUUCUAGCCAAGAUUCAACCCAAGUGUCACUCCAAUUGGGAAUUUCGGUUUUGAGCUUUUCCAAUGGAAGAGAAAAGUUCAAAAUAUUACAAGUCUUGUGUUCUCAAAAUAUCAUGAAUGAACUACCACAAGACUAGCCCUAACAAAUGACUUAUAUAGUCAAUUACAAAGGAGGGACAAAAGACCAAAAUACCCUUGGCAUUAAGUGGGUGGGUUUGGGGUGUUUUGUUGGGCCUCUUCACAUUUUAAUAACUAUAGGCCCUUUGAUGGGCUCACAAGGGCCUCACACAAGGCCAAGGAUGUGAACAAGGUUUGGAGUCGUUGCAACUCACGCGCUUGGCUUCAUGUGAAAGGUCUCGAGCUAGGAAUUCUCGCACCAUCCUCUCCAUCUUGAAGGGAAUUUGUCCUCAAAUUCGGAUCAUUUCCAUCCUCCACCGUGUCCACCCGAGAGAGGUCACACACGUUGAAAGUGUUGUGCACUUGAUAUUCCGGGGGUAGAUCAAUCUUGUAGGCGUUGUCGUUGAUCCUUUCUAAUACUUGGAACGGGCCAUCACCCCGCGGCAUCAACUUAGCAUUCCUUUUAGAUGGGAAUCUAUCCUUCCUUAGGUGCACCCACACCCAAUCUCCCAGUUUAAGAAUGAGCUUUCUUCUUCCUUUAUUGGUUCGCCUUGCAACUUCUUGGUUUUUCUUCUCCAACCGCAACCUCACCUUCUCAUGUAGCUUCUUAUGGCCUCGGCCUAUUUGCUUCCAUCUAAGCUUAUCACAAAAUCACUUGGCAAAGGGUUUAAAUCCAAAGGGGUAAGGGGGUUGAUUUCGUAUACACACUCGAAGGGUGUCAUCCCCGUGCUUGAGUGUAUAACACGAUUAUAAGCAAACUCAAUCAACGGUAAGUGCUCCUCCCAAGAAGUCAUUUUUCCCUUAACCAUGGACCGUAGCAUAGACCCUAAGGUCCUAUUUACUACUUCCGUUUGGUCAUCGGUUUGUGGGUGGCAUGAAAUCGAAAACAACAACUUAGUACCGAGCUUACCCCACAUGGACUUCCAAAAGUGGCUUAGGAAUUUAGAAUUCUUAUCACUCACUAUAGUCCUCGGAACACCAUGAAGUUUUACAAUAUUAUCAACAAACAAAGAGGCUACACUAGGCGCAUCAUCACAUUUAGAACAAGGAAUAAAGUGAGCCAUCUUGGAAAACUGAUCCACCACGACAAAAAUACUAUCCCGCGCCCUUUUAGUUCUCGAUAAUCCCAACACGAAGUCCAUUGAUAUAUCAAGCCAAGGACGCAAAAGGGUGGACAACGGGGUGUACAAUCCAUGGUGUUGGAUCCGUGACUUAGCUCCUUUGCACUCAACACAUUGGCCGCAAAUUCGGGCCACAUCCUUGUGCAUUCUGGGCCAAUAAAAUUAUUCUUCCAAAAUUUCGAGGGUCUUCUCGACCCCAAAAUGACCCAUUAGAUAGUCAUUGUGUGCUUCCUUCACAAAUAAUUCUCUCCACGAACUUGAGGGAACACACAAUCAUCUACCCUUAAAUAAGUAUCCAUCAAAUUUGGUAUAAGGAUAGGAACCCCUAUCCGUAACCCACCUAUCCCUAUCCAACUCUUUAUUUUCCCUAUAGAUAGGAGCGAAGUGAGGGUCCUCGGGAUAUAAAGACUUGAGGCUUUCAAACCCCAUCAACUUAGAUGACAAAGUAGACACAAGCACAUGUUUUCGGGACAAAGCAUCGGCAACCACAUUGUCUUUACCCUUCUUGUAAUGAAUAACAUAAGGGAAAUUUUCAAGAAAUUCAAUCCAUUUGGCAUGCCGCCGGUUAAGCUUGUCUUGUGCCCGUAGAUGCUUCAAGGAUUAAUGAUCUGUUUGGAUCAUGAAUUCUUUAGGCCACAAAUAAUGUUGCCAAGUGGCCAAGGCUCUAAUCAAGGCAUACAACUCAAAAUCAUACGUAGAGUAGUUUAGAGUUGCUCCUUUGAGCUUUUCUCUAAAGUAGGCAAUAGGCUUCAAUUCUUGCAUUAAAACCGUACUUAUGCCGACUUUGCUAGCAUCACAUUUGACCUCAAAAAGUCUAGUCAAAAUUCGGCAAUUGUAGUAAAAGGGUCGAGAUGAGCAUAGCUUUCAAGUCCUCGAAGGCCUUAGCUUGUUCAUUUUUCCACUUGAAAGGUCGAUCCUUUUUAAUCACUUCGGUCAAGGGGGCGGCAAUGGUGCUAAAUCCUUUGACAAAACGUCUAUAAAAACUAGCCAACCCGUGGAAGCAUCUCACUUCACCUAUGGUUUUGGGGGUUGGCCAAUUUUUAAUAGCGUCAAUCUUAGAUUCAUCCACUUCGACCCCUCUUGAGCUCACCACAAACCCAAGAAAUACAACCUUAUGGAGACCAAAAGAACACUUUUCUAGAUUGGCAUAUAACUUCUCCUUUCGGAGGACAUCAAAUACACAUUAUAAAUGCUUUACAUGCUUAUCUAAGGACUUACUAUACACCAACACGUCAUCAAAGUAAACAACAAAAAAAAUUCUGAUAAAUGGCUUUAUCACAUGAUUCAUUAGCCUCAUGAAAGUACUUGGAGCAUUUGUUAGGACGAAUGGCAUAACCAUCCAUUCACAGAGACCGAAUUCGGUCUUGAAGGUGGUUUUCCAUUCAUCACCCGAUUGCAUACGAAUUUGGUGAUAGCCACUCCUUAAAUCAAUUUUAGAAAACAAACACGAACUAUUCAAUUCAUCAAGAAUAUCAUCUAGCCUAGGAAUAGGGUGAUGAUAUUUUACUGUUAUCUUGUUGAUGGCUCGGCAAUCAACACACAUACACCAAGUCCCGUCUUUCUUGGGCACUAGUAGCACCGGGACUGCACAAGGGCUCAUACUCUUCUUGAUAUACCCUUUGUUGAGGAGUUCCUCAACUUGGCAUUGCAAUUCUUUGGUAUCCGUUGGGUUGCUCCUAUAAGCCGGUUUGUUGGGCAAUUGUGAACCCAGUACAAAAUCUAUUUGAUGCUCAAUUCCCCAAAGUGGGGGCAAUUCUUGUGGUAAUUCUUUCGGGAAGACAUCUUCGUAAUCCUGUACAACAUGAGAAAUAGGAGGAGAAAUGGAAACGUUAGUGGGGUUAGUAUUAAAAUAAUGAGCCAAGAGGAGCAUCGGAGUGUCCUCAUCAUGAUCCACAAAUAGUUCUUUCCUCCUAUACAUCAUCACCACACUUCCUUGCCCCUUAGAAAUUAGGAUCUCCUUGGUUUCUCCUACUCUCUCACUCUCGGAUUCCCCUCUUUUUCCCUCACUCUCGACCUUCUUUCCCUUCUUCCUCAAUUCCCGCAUCUUUUGGUGUAAUUCAUUCACUUGGGAAGGCAAUAAUGGAUGAAGAGCGAACUUUCGGCCAUCCUUCUCAAGUGUAUAUCGAUUGGACCUUCCAUCAUGUUUAGUCGACCUAUCGUAUUGCCAAGGCCUUCCUAACAAUAAGUGACAAGCUUGCAUUGGUAUCACGUCACAAAGCACCUCGUCAUGGUAGUUGACUACCUUAAAACGUAUCACGCAUUGCCUUGUGACCUUUAACUCUCUGCAUUUAUUCAACCAUUGCAACUUGUAAGGACUAGUGUGAGGUGUAGUUGGAAAUUUCAAGAAGUUCACCAUUGCAACACUAACCACAUUCGCAUAACUUCCACUAUAUAUCACCAUAGUGCACACACUUCCCUUCAUAAGACAUUUAGUAUGGAAUAGAUUCUCCCGUUGGCUAGGAUCAUCUAUCACCUUACUAAUCAUGGCACGCCUCACUACAAAGUUUAGAACCACACACUCCCCUUCUUUCGGAUAUGGAUCCUCACAAUCAUCAUCAUCAUCAUGUGGCUCAUUUUUGGGUUCCUCUCCAUCUUGAGUCUUGGCCUCAUUCUCUUCAUUUUUAAGACCCACUUCCUCACCAAGGUAAUACAAUCUCUCUUCUCUUAGGAUCACAUUGUGUCGGUUUGGACAUUCAUUGGCUUUAUGUCCCCAACCUUGGAACUUAAAACAUUGGAACCCUUUAGGAUUAGGAUACUUAUGAGCCUCUUGCCUUGGUGGAUAUUUUUGUAUUGCCUUGGCCUCGGGUUGCCUUGUAGUGGUGUGUUGGUCUUUGUUUUUGUGCCAACCCGUGGUGGAGGAAGCAACCUCCUUACCCCUCGGCCAACCCGAGGGUGCUUGACCCUUGGAUUUGUAACUUGUUCUUUCCUUAAAUUCUCUUUCAAUUUUAAUGGCCUCUUGAAAGAUUCCUUCAACGGUAUCAAAUUUAUGGAGAGUCAAGUGAGUAGUAAUAUCCUUAUUCAACCCACACUUGAACCGAAUAAUGUCAUGGACGAUUUGUUCUCCCCGAUGGCCAAGCUUCAACAUGAGUUAUUGAAACUCAUCAUAGUAUGCCAUAACACUUCGAUUCCCUUGUCGCAAGUUGUACAACCUCGCAAUCAACUCAUGACGAUACCUUUUGGGAAGGUACCAUUGCCUCAUUAGAUACCUUAAUCGAAACCAUAGUGGUGGUUGCCUAUGUAUCAACUCAUUUCCAAAUCGCUUGAUGUAUUCCCACCAAGUGUUAGCAUAGACUUCAAAGUGGGCUAUGGCAUAAAAACUCUUCUUCUCCUCGAAAAUAUCAUUCACUUGGAAUACCUUGUCACACGCUGAUUCCCAAGCGAGAUACACCUCGGGGUCACUUUCACCCUUAAAGAUAGGUAGACUCAAUUUGAUGGUAUUGAUGCCCAUGUCUCUCUCUAGGUGUUGGUUUCCCCUUUCUCUAUACCCUCGGUAUCUCCUUGGAUCCACACGACCCUCUCUCAUCUCCUCCUCCCUUAUGUAGGCAUCGUCAUAGGCUCCAUACCCUUCAUAAUCCCCUCUACCAUAUUCCUUAAGAUGGACAGGACGAUUUUGGACAUUUGGAACUUGAUUCGGAGGAAUUGGAUUUUGUGGAGGUGGUGGUAUUUGGUUUAGUGGAGCUUGGAAAGAGGGGGUUUGGGUUUUGUGGAGGCAUUUGACGUCUAAGUACCUCUUGCGGAACUUGAGGAAUUUGGGAAUGGGUUGGUCUAUUAGAGUCUCGAUUUAGAAUGUUAUGAGUGGUUUGGCUUGCGGCAUUUAGGGGAGCUAGUGAAGAAAUUGGCAAUUGUGGCCAUGUUUUGGGAGUAACGGUGGCGGAGGAAUUUCUAUCAUGUCCACUUGAUGAAACAUUUCAAAGAGUAGAAGGACGAGAGUUCCUUUGACUCUCCACUUAUUCUAAUUCCUUUGACUCUCCACUUGUUCUAACCUCCCACUAAUAGUCGUCACUUCUCACCUUAUGGCUCCCACUUCCAUACUCAAUCUUUCAAGAGUGACCCUCAUAUUCUUCAUUUCAUUAGAAUCCACGGUUUGACAUGUGGUUCCCUCCAUUGUCAAGGUAUCACCUACGCAAACAUCAAACACGUUAGUUAAAAUCCCUCUUCUCACUCACACUCGAGCUCCACAAGUGUUGUAGAUUGGCUAGUUGAAUCCUUAAGGUAUGAGUAUGCUUUUGUCCGGAGUGGAUUUUUGUUGGAAACUCAAAGAAUUCUCGUCGGAAUAGAGCCAAGAGUUACAACGUAUUCAAAUGACAAAAGAACACAAACAAACGUUGACACGAACACAAAGCUUCAAAGGACUAAUUAACAAGCUAGUAGGAAUGUACUAGGUUGUCAAUUAGUGUUCAAACCAACAAAAAACACUAAGAAACAAUAAAAUUAAACUAAGAAAUCUAAAAUUUGAACUCAAAAUAUUGUGUGAACAGUAAUUUAGUGAUGUGGCAGUCCACUAUUGGCCUCGGUUUUGUCAGAAUUUUACUCUCCAAUUUCAAGUCUUGACCAAUCUAUAAUUUGGAAAUGGUGGAAUUGGUUAAUGGAGGAAAAUUCGAUCUUGAAGCUUACUUUUCAAAUUCAAAACAAGACUUGACCUUCUUGGUACUUUCUCCUUGAAACAAGGUCAUUAAAUCAAGGAAAGUAGGUGAAAAGUGGUUGUCAAGUCUUUUGAGUGAUGUGAUCAAGUCUUUCAUCAACAAAUACUACAACUUGGUGUUUCACCUUUUGUGGAUCUAAUGUUAACUUUUUGUUUUAAAAAAGAUGAAAAGGGUGAAGAACAAAAAGAACACAAUAACAACCCCAAGAACAACCAACAACAACCACGGCCAAAACAAUCCACCACAACAACAAUGUUCAACAAUGGACAGCCAAGUUCAAGUUCACAAUAACAAAAUCAAUUUUUAGAGCUCAAAUCUAGAUCGACUCAAAGUGUUAGUGAACAAGAGAAAUAAAACUAGAAACAACACUGAAGACAAUUAAAAAUCUUUCGAAGACACAACAAGAAUACAAUUUUUGUCCAAGAACACAACAACGGACAGAUUUGACUGUUUCUGAAAUUUUUCAGUUUUCAGUUUUUUUGUUUUUUGUAGUUUUCAAGUCCCAAGCCCAAGAUUGAUCUUGUUAAAACAAAAUCGAAGAUGACUUUGAUACAAAAGUGAGUGUGUAUCAAGAGAGUCAAGCCAACACAAGAACACAAGAAUAACAAGAUGAACAACAACAAUGCUAGUGGAUCGAAAUAGGCCACACACGACUUCACUAGACUUCAAGGUUUACAAAAACAAUAAGAUGAUAGAGAUUACAAUAACAACAAGAAGAGCGACAAAGUGGCAUCAACUAUAGUGAAUCGAAAAUAGCCCCACACGGCUUCACUAUGUUACCACACAAACAACAAGAUUACAAAAUUAAAGAUAGUAACUUGACAUACAAUAUUCAAGAAUCUAAGAACCCUAAAAACAUGAAAGGACCCUAAGAUUAAAGAAUAUUAUCACCAAGCUCUUACUUGGACCAAGAGGAACUCAAUGACCUCAAGAUCCUAGUUUCUAGCCAAGAUUUAACCCAAGUAUCACUCUAAUUGGGAAUUUCGGUUUUGAGCUUCUCCAAUGGAAGAGAAAAGUUCAAAAUAUUACAAGUCUUGUGUUCUCAAAAUAUCAUGAAUGAACUACCACAAGACUAGCCCUAACAAAUGAAUUAUAUAGUCAAUUACAAAGGAGUGACAAAAGACCAAAAUACCCUUGGCAUUAAGUAGGUGGGUUUGGGGUGUUUUGUUGGGCCUCUUCACAUUUUAAUAAGUAUAGGACCUUGGAUGGGCUCACAAGGGCCUCACACAAGGCCAAGGAUGUGAACAAGGCUUGAAGUCAUUGUAACUCACGCGCUUGGCUUCAUGUGAAAGGUCUCGGGCUAGAAAUUCUCAUAUCAAGGAAAGUUGACUAAAACAAGCAAAAAGAAUGAUAUUUGUAGUUCUAGUUGUUGAAAAUCAUUCACCCAGACAUAAGUGGUCCGUAUUAUACUUCAAUAUGUGGUUCAAAUUAUUUUAUCACCUUUAUUGAUAACUUUUCUCGGUAUGAUUAUGUUUUUCUUAUUAAAAAAAUCAUAUUCUCUUGAAAUGUGCAAAGUGUUUAAAACUGAAGUAGAGAAACAACUGGGAAAGGUUAUUAAGAUAGUGUGGUCUGAUCAUGAGGGUGAGUACUAUGGUAGAUACACUGAGACUGGGCAACAGAUGGGACCUGUAACACCCCAACUUAGGAAGGAGUUCCACAUCAGCAAAACACAGGAGGAAUGUUUGGUAUAUAAGUAAGAAAACCUUACUCCCUAGUGAUGCGUUAAAUCCAUGAGGGCCUGGACCCAGAGUGGACAAUAUCACUAGUGGGUUGAGGAGUUCAGGGGUAUCUCGGGCCUUGAUGGUUCAGGAUGUCCGUUAUGGCCAGGGCCCGAGCUCGGGUCAUGACAGAACUCUUUGCCAAAUAUCUACAAGAUUGUGGCAAAGUUUCCCAGUACACCAUGCCUGGUAGUCCUGACCAAAAUGGUGUAGUCGAAAGGCGAAAUAGUACUUUAAAAGAUAAUAAUGAGAAGUAUGAUGAGUAGAUCUAACUUACCUGAGUUUCAAGCUAUUAAAACUGUACUUUAAAAGAUAUGAUGAGAAGUAUGAUGAGUAAGCUAUUAAAAUCAUACUUUAAAAGAUAUGAUGAGAAGUAUGAUGAGUGUGAAGCUAUUAAAAUUGUACUUUAAAAGAUAUGAUGAGAAGUAUGAUGAGUAAGCUAUUAAAAUCAUACUUUAAAAGAUAUGAUGAGAAGUAUGAUGAGUAAGCUAUUAAAAUCGUACUUUAAAAGAUAUGGUGAGAAGUAUGAUGAGUAAGCUAUUAAAACCGUACUUUAAAAAACUUGUACUUUAAAAGAUAUGAUGAGAAGUGUGAUGAGUAAGCUAUUAAAACCGUACUUUAAAAGAUAUGAUGAGAAGUAUGAUGAGUAUGAUGAGAAGUAUGAUGAGUAAGCUAUUAAAAUCGUAAUUUAAAAGAUAUGAUGAGAAGCCGUAAUUUAAAAGAUAUGAUGAGAAGUAUGAUGAUUAGAUACGAUGAGUAGAUCUAACUUACCUGAAAUCCUCUGGGUUGAAGCUGUUAAAACCUCCAUAUAUAUUCUUAAUUGUGUCCCUUCCAAAUCAGUCCCUAAAACCCCUUUUGAGUUGUAGAACCAACAGAAAAUUUAGUUUAAAUUAUUUUCGAGUUUAGAGACCUUCUGCAAAGGUAAAGAUAUAUAACCCUUCAGAAAAAAAAACUGAACCUAGAACCAUGCGUUGUUUUUUCAUUUGGUUAUCCAACUGCGAAUGUAAAGAUAUAUAACCCUUCAGAAAAGAAAACUGAACCUAGAAGUUGUUUUUUCAUUAGUUAUCCAACUCAUUCUAAAGGAUAAAGGUUCUACAGUCCUACAAGGGGAACAAGAAUAGUUGAAUCUCAAAAUGCAAAACUUCUUGAAUUUGAUGUUGCAGAUAAGGAUUGUUCUCAGCAUAUCUCAGCAUAUCACUCCUGACUUAAUUGUUUCCCAUUCAAGUCAGUCCUUAAAACCCCUUUUGAGUUAUGGACCAAUAUAAACUUCAGUUUAAAUCAUUUUUCGAGUUUGGAGAUGUUUUGCGAAGGUAAAGAUAUAUAACCCUUCAGAAAAGAAAACUGAACCUAAAACCUCGCAUUGUUUUUUCAUUGGUUAUCCAGCUCAUUCUAAAGGAUACAAAUUCUAUUAUCCUACAAGGGGAACAAGAAUAGUUGAAUCUCAAAAUGCAAAAUUUCUUGAAUUUGAUGUUGCAGAUAAGGAUUGCUCUCAGCAUAUUGCUCCUGAGCCAACUGAAAGUAUUGAAGCUGUCAGAAUUCCUCUUAGUAUUACCUCAAAAUCAUUAGUAUCUGCACCUAUACAUGAUGAACCUCAUAUACAUGUGCAAACUGAUGACUUUGUACCUGCAGAAAUUAGGUGCCUAUUAUUGAAAAAGUGGUUCAGGCACCUGCUGUUGUUGAUCAAGAGGUUCAGAAUUUAAGGAGAUCAAGUAGACCAAGACGAUCGUGCGCUAUUGGAUGAUUAUUUAGUAUACCUAGAUGAAGGUGACAUUGUUGAUCCUGUAACCUUUUCGGAAGCUUCAUCGUGUGCUCAAUCAAAGAUGUGGCUUGAUGCUAUGUCUGAAGAGAUAAAAUCCAUGAGUAAAAAUAAUGUGUGGGAGCUUUCAAAGCUUCCUAAAGUCUAAAAGGUUGUUGGAUGUAAAUGGAUUUUUAUGACCAAGAAGGAUUCAAUGGAAAUAUUGAACGAUUCAAGGCGAGAUUACAAUGAAACUUUUUCACCAGUGUCAUCUAAGGAUUCUUUUAGGAUCAUUAUGGCAUUAGUAACCCAUUUUUAUCUUGAGCUACAUCAAAUGGAUGUAAAGACAACCUUUUUGAAUGGUGAUCCUAAUGAAGAGAUUUACAUGCAACAACCCCAAGGUUUUGUUGGUAAAGGCAGCGAGCAUCUUGUGUGUAAAUUGAAGAAAUAUAUUUAUGGCUUGAAGCAAGCUUCUCGAUAGUAGUACUUGAAGUUUGAGGAAAUUAUGAAUUCUAUGGGGUUUGUGGAGAACAAUAUUGAUCAUUGCUUCUAUCUCAAGAUUAGUGGGAGUAAUUUCAUCAUUCUCACUCUUUACGUUGAUAAUAUUUUACUUGCUAGUAAUAAUUCAGGACUGUUGCACGAAAUUAAACAUUCAUUAAAUAAAAUUUUUGAUAUGAUAUAUCUAGGAGAGGCAUCAUUUGUUCCGGGCAUUGAGAUUCGACGAGAUAGAUCUCGUAAGUUAUUGGGGUUUUCACAAAAGGCCUAUAUUGAUCGUAUUUUGAAAAGAUCUCAAAUGAAAAAUUGUAAGCCUGGUGAUGUCCCUGUGGUGAAAGGUGAUAAGUUAAGCCUAGACUUGUGUCCCAAAAAUGAUCUUAAGAAAGAUUCUAUGAAAUAUGUGCCUUAUCGAAGUGUUGUUGAAAGUCUUAUGUAUGCACAAGUUUGCACUCGUCCUGACAUUGCUUUCAUUGUCAAUGCUCUUGGAUGUUAUCAAACUAAUCCAGGAAGAAGUCAUUGGGUAGCUACUAAGAAAGUAAUGAGGUGCUUGAAGAAGACAAGAGAUUAUAUAUUAGUGGACAAAAACGUUGACGACCUUGAGGUAAUUGGUUACAUAGACUCAGACUUUGCUAGGUGUCCUGAUGAUUUGAGGUCCACAUCUGGCUUUAUCUUUAUGUUUCCAGGGGGUGCGAUAUCUUGGAAGAGUGUGAAGUGAACUCUUAUAGCAUCUUCCACUAUGCAAGCAGAAUUCGUAGCUUGUUAUGGUGCAGCUACACAAGCCAUUUGGUUUAAGAAUUUUAUUUCAGGGCUUGUGGUAGUUGAUUCCAUCUCUAGCCCCUUGAAGAUUUAUCGUGACAAUAAGGCAGCUGUGUUUUACUCAAAAAAUAAUAAAUCUUCUUCAGUUUCUAAGCAUAUGAAAAUAAAAUCUCUGACUGUGAGAGAUAUGGUUAAAAGGGAGGACAUUGUGAUUGAACAUACACCUACCGAUUUGAUGUUUGUUGCUCCACUAAUCAAGGUGCUAAGACCUAUAGUUUUUACACAACAUAUUCAUAAUAUGGGUGUUGUUGAGUCAUUUGAUUUGUUGGGUUAGUGGGAGUAUUUAAUAUUGUUAUUCAUUUGUCAUUAGACUAUUCACCUUAUUGUUUCAUAUUUAUGGUGAUAUUAUCUCUUGAAUUUACAUUUAUGCUAUAGUAGAUUUUGCUAUCAUUUAUGUUGUUGAUUAUUAUUGUGUACACUUUAAUAUUGUUUUAUUAUAUUAAGGCUUUUUGCCUUACGUGUUAGCUAUAUCUCAUAUUGAUAAGAUGAUAUUGUUGUUUUAUUGAAUUUUUCUUUUGGAGACAUACGAUAUAUCAUUCUACCUAGUGAAUUUUUUGGUUGUUGCACCAUGUAAUAUGUUGCACAUGUUGAACCUUGAAAAUCAAGAUUUUCUGCUGGAGCACAUGUUGUUUUAGUGCUCACACAUGUUGUAACAAAAUCGCGGUGAUGAUUUUUCUAUGGUACGCAUGUUGAUUUUAAACGUACAUGUUAAUAUGAAAAAUCGUUUGAAGGACUAACAAUGAAAUAGCCUCGAUUUGGAGUCCAUGUUUGCUAUUUUUUGCUACACUACCACAUUAUUUGGUUUAUGUCUACAAAACUUCAGUGUUAGUAAUCGUGGACUGAUUUUGUAUCGUUGGUUGAUGCACGUACUGUUGCAGUUCAACAGUGAUGUUUUCCUUGACUGAACUAUGUUGGAGAUGGCGUUCCACCACUAAAUAUUUAUGGCCACUGUCUACUCAGUUUGAGAGUCAUUUUCAUAAAAAUAUUUUUUUCAAAACUUUUCUUUAAAAGUUAACGUUGUCAAGUGAAAGAAUGUUAGAAUUAUUUAUUUUAUAUGGACUUAACGUUAACUUUUUAUUACAUUAAAGUAAAACGAGAUGAUGAUAUUAAUUGGUGGACAAGACACAGGUCGUGUAUUCAUGUGGAUUCCAUAUCGGCCUGUAUCCAUUUCAUAUUAUUGGUAUGGGCUGACAAUAAUGUAGGCCUGUAGUAGACCUGUGAGCCCAUAAUGAGGGUGCACUAGGUUAAGGCUUUUAAGCCUAUAAAUAUAAGGCUAGGUCCCCUCUCCUGAUUUUAACAUAAGACGUAUUCCCAUAACUUAAGUUGCUACUAUCAUAAGCAAAGGAGAGGAAGACUCCGCCUAGUUCGUCUUCCAUUACAUGUAAGCAAUGACGAACAAAGGUACACACCUUUCCUCUCUCAUAUUCCGUUAUUUUGUGUUCUUGAUUUAUGUGAAUCUGUGAUGUGUUUCUCUAUUAAUUUCAACAUAAAAUGCUUCUCCAUAUUUUUUUUUUUUUAAGUGGCUAAAUUCCCUUUUUGUAAUUACUUGGAUCAUGUGUUAUCGAUUCAUUGAUUAUUUUUACUAAAGUUCAUUAUUUAAAAAUUAUUUUGGCACAAAUGACAAAUGACAUCAUUUUAUUCAAUGUUUUACACAUCAUUCGCGAGUGUGACUCACACAUGUGAUAUAUUUUGUAUUGAUUAUGUAAAAAGUGCCAAAAUUAAGUAGUAAAACAACAGUUAAGAUGUUUAAAAUGAACCAUAUAUAGUUGAAGUGCACAAAUAAAAAUUGAUGAUGACUUCAAGGAGGUGGGGAUGUGUUUGGCCACAAUAGGAACUUUCUAUCUCUCUUAAGUUAUAUAUUUCCAUUGUCACUUCAAUUGAAUCCAAUAUUUCUAGGCUCAAAUGAAAUAUUGAUUCUAUUUUGUUGACAAUGUUCUGAAAACAUUCAGAAUAUUAUACUCACUCGGUGUUUAUAUCAAAAUAAAUAAUUUAACUUCAGAAAUUAAAAAAUGAAAUGACAAUACAUAUUUUUCAGUAAGAAAUUUUUUGAUUGCAAUCACAAGAAAACAAAUGAAAACAACAAAAGCUUAGUUUAUGAGCAACAAUGAAUGUCAAUUUGUCUUUAUUUUUUUUAGAACUUAUUUCUCAUCACAACUUAUCUCUGCCUUCUUGUGAGGGGCAAGGCCUGCUGUUUAAAUUGUCUUGUUCUUAGAUAUUUCUUUAAGGCAUCUGAUACUGACAAUUUUUGUCUUGGUUUGAGACAACAUAAAAAAUAUCUAUGCACUUUGUCAUUUUCUUUAUUUUGAUGUUUCACCUACCUCAUAGAUCUAAAGGAGAUGUUCAAAAACAAGAACAAUGAGCUAAGUGGACUCAGGGGGCAGACCUAUGUGUAAUUUUGUAGUGUCCCAGCAUCCGUUGAACACGACGUAAACAAGAUAUAAUUAUAUAAGAAAUGUAAUAAAGAUUGAUAUAAGAUUUAAAAAAUGAAGGUUGAGUGCUUGGUUUCCAGGCGGAAUCCUAAAACCUUGGGCAUCAAUAUGCGUGUUUGAACCACCCGGACACCCACGACCCCUAGAUCCUGAAUCUACCGUUGAUGUGGUUUCAUGAUACCUAACUCAUCAAUGUAUGAAAAUCGAUGGGCUUUACAUUUUCUUUAACUAAUCAGUAUAUAAGGACCUAAAAAUAGUUGAGUCAUAUAAGCAUUUCACAUUACAUUCUUCUACACUUUUUCUACCCCUUUCAUAAUAGUACCAAGCCAAAAGGUACCUACAAAGAUGGAAGUUAAGAACAAGUAUGUAGCAAUAAAAGCCAACAUCAAUGGUGCACCAGAAGAGUCAGACUUCGAGAUAAAAGUCAAAAACCUCUCACAUAUAGUUGAGCCAGAGUCUAAGGAGGUUGUCAUCAAGAACCUGUUAGUAUCGAUUGAUCCUUAUCAGAUAAACCGGAUGAAGAGCCAAAGUUCAUCACAAACAUCGAUAAGUUAUGCAACUGCCAUUACUCCUGGCGAGGUCAUUGACACUUAUGGUGUAGGAAGAGUGUUGGUUUCUCAUCGGCCCGACUUCAAGAAAGGUGACUUGGUAUCUGGGCUGCUUACCUGGGGAGAGUACACUGUUGUAAAGGAAGGUUCCCUGUUGAAUAAGUUGGACCCUUCUCUGGCAUUUCCUUUGUCUUACCAUGUCGGAGUUUUUGGAUUCAGUGGACUUGCUGCCUAUGGUGGAUUCUUCGAAGUGUGUAAACCGAAGCCAGGGGAGAAAGUUUUCGUGUCUGCUGCUUCUGGUUCAAUAGGACAUUUAGUAGGACAGUAUGCUAAAUUACUAGGAUGUUAUGUUGUUGGCUCUGCUGGUAGCCAAGAAAAGGUAAAUUUUCUUAAGGAGACACUUGGAUUCGACGAUGCAUUCAAUUAUAAACAAGAAACUGACCUCAAAUCGGCUCUCAAAAGGUGUUUCACUCAAGGGAUCGAUGUCUACUUUGACAAUGUGGGAGGCAAGAUGCUAGAAGCAGCAGUGGCAAACAUGAAUUCAUUCGGCAGAGUAGCCAUCUGUGGGGUUAUUUCUGAGUACACGAAUGCUAGCACACGAGCUGCCCCAGAUAUGAAGGAUAUAGUCUACAAGAGGAUUAGAAUCCAAGGAUUCCUAGCAGCUGAUUUCAUGCCAGUGUAUGCAGAUUUCCUGUCGAAAACAGUUGAGUACCUCCAAGAUGGAAAACUUAAGACCAUCGAAGAUAUCUCACAAGGCGUUGAAAGCAUCCCCUCUGCUUUUAUUGGACUGUUCAAUGGUGAUAAUAUAGGCAAAAAGAUUGUCAAAGUUGCAGAUGAGCGAUAAAAAGAACAAGAAGAUUCAAGACUGUUGACCUAUUUGUUCAUGAAUUCACGAACAAUAUCUUAUCUGUACUUCUUUCAAGUUGUAAUCCAUUUAAACGUUCAUCUUCUGCAUCAAGUUAACGAACAAGUUUAUGUAUUAUGCCUAUCAGAUUCUUGUUUACUUUUCCUUUUCAUGUACCCUAGAUUGAAACAAACUCUGUGACCCUAUCGUCUACCAACUAUGUCUCAAUCCCAAAUUUAGUUGACUACAUGAAUCUUUUACAUCAACUCAACAAAGUGGAAAAAUACAUCUUUAGCAACUACUUCAAGACCACCAUAAGAUAAAGCAAUAUCCGGGUCCUCAUCAACAUACAGACCAACUAUUAUGCCAAAACGAAUCCCGGUACUGAAAUAGCAGCAAAGUAAAGUGACAAUGGAUGUACAUAAGUUAGUUUCAAUAGAAUGACACGAUAGAAAACACUAAUGUACUAGUAUCACAGUAGAAACAAAAUUUGAGAGGAAUGGAUCAGGAAGGGGAUGAAUGUAAUACCAAGUGUUACAUUAACAGCAUUAAUAUUGAACCUGCAGUCUUCCUUCCAUUCAAACAGACUGUCAACAGCCUCUGCCAAUGCAGAACGAACAACUAGCUUCUUGUGUUUUCAAGAAAUUAUGGACCUACAGGAAGACACACACAUAUUAGUGAAUGCUUCAGCGUAAAGCUAUUCAUCAUUGAGCGGGAGCGGUUAAAAGACAGCAUAAAGAUGCAUAACCGCAGUUCCUCUGGAGAGCAAAGAACGUGCCAAAACUUGCACUCAUCAACUAGCAGCACUUUUUCUUUCUGAACUAGUUGCAAUAUCAAGGAAAAAGAAUUCCAUGAUGUGGAACAAUUAUCAUCAUAAGUAUCAUAUGACAGAUCAACAUCUUGUUCAGAUCAAUCUACAUACAACACAUAUUCAAGGAAGGAGAAGCUUGUUCACCGUUUUGUUACGAUGAACUUGAAUUUUAAGCUACCAACAAUGUGCGAUAAAAUUUAGCAGAAGUAGGUGAGUCUCGCUCUAUACAUGCACAUUGUAACAACAUAAGUACAUCAGAAAUGAACUGUAAAAACAGGGAAAGUUCGCGUUUCUUCAUUGCACUCCAUGUAUAGUUAGCAGGGAUGGAUAGUUGCUUGGUUGUUCCUAACACAGCGUUUUCACUUCCUCAAAGUUCAAUAAUAUAGAACAUUUAACAGAAAACCUCAUUGACAUCUCAUACAACAAGAAAAAGCAGUGUCGAUCUAGAAAGCAUCAGAUGAACAGCUAGCUCCGGCACAGUAAACAUUAACAUGUACUAAACACAAGUUGCUGUCCUUGUUUGAGCAAAAAAAAUAAAUAAAACAAGCUCAUUUCCCUUCAUUUGAAUAUGUUGUAGGUUCUUAAAUUCAUGCUGUAAGCAGUGAACAUGAACAUUGCAUGAAAGUUAACAAUUGUCCCCCGUAUAGUUUCCACAAAAUGUACAAUUAGAGAUAUCUUGGCUACGUUUCAUUUCCAUUUUCACCCAUAUUUCCUCAAUUUAGUGCCACACAGGAUGAAAAUCAACAAAUUGAAACACAACAAAAAGUAAAUCCAAAUGUGUCAAAUUCUUGAAAUAAAAUCCCUACAGGAUUUUCCUUGUUAAUACACGUGCGGCUACAUUGACUUCAGUCAGAUUGCACAAAAUCAUUCUAAUACAUUGACAUCAAACAAAAUAGACUUUCUGUCAACGCUAUCAGUUUCUUACUUGGUGAUAUUUUAUAUGUGUUGAUUAUUGCCUCAGUUACUGCAGUAAAAGUAGGAGCAAUUGUUGGACAUUAUCCAGUUUUUUUAGCCAUGCUCUCUUUAACUUAGUUUAGUGGCUGAUUUUUAGAUGUUAGUGGUGCAGUUGUUUUGGAUAUUGCUGAUCAUGGAAUCAUGUACAAAGUAGUGGCUUAAUUAUAGGCUUUAGUUAUUGCAUUUUUUUAGUAUUUAAGCACCACUUCAAAUUUAAUGAAAAAUCAACCUUUGUGCAGUAAAUUAAUUUGUUGUCUUCUUUCUUUCUUUGUUUUCACUUCAAAGAGUUGAAGUUAACCUUACAACUCCAACAAAUUGGUAUCAAAGCUCUCUUCUUGAGGGACCUGCAUUUGAGGGAAAUAUAUCUUUCUCUUCUUAUUUUUUUCUCCUAUGGAUUCAGAGACUCCUUUCACUGUACUAGCACCACCUGUCUUCAAAAGUGAAGGCUAUCAUGUCUGGGAAGCAAGAAUGGAGGCACAUAUGGAGACAAACGAUUUGUGAGAAGCUGUUGAGGAGGACUACGAAGUUCCUCCCUUGCCUGAAAAUCCAAUCAUGGCGCAGAUGAGGAAUUACAAGGAAAAGAAAACAAGAAAAUCAAAGGCUAGAGCAACGUUAUUCGCUGCAGUCUUAUCUGAAAUCUUUGUCAGGAUUAUGACAUUGAAACCAGCUUUUGAGGUCUGGAAUUUCCUAAAUAAAAAAUAUGAAGGAGAUGAACGGAUCAAAAGUAUGCGUACUCUUAAUCUGAUCUGAGAAUUUGAACUUCAGAAGAUGAAGUAUUCAGAGACAAUCAAAGAGUAUUCUAAUAUGAUUACUUAACAUUGCCAACAAUGUAAGAUUACUCGGCUCUGCAUUUUCUGAUUCUAGAUUGUUUCAAAAAAUUCUAGUAACAGUCCCUGAAUGGUUUGAAACAACUAUUUUCGCACUAGUAAAUUCUAAGGAUUUGUCACAGAUUAGUUUGGCAGAACUACUGAAAGCUUCGCAGGCAUAAGAAUAUAGAAGACUUAUGAGGUCUGAAGGAUCUGUUGAGGGUGCACUACCUGCAAAAGUUCAAUCAAACCAGGGAGACCAAGGAAAGAAGAAGUGGAACAACAAGGAAAACUCAAGUUCUCAUUCUCCUGGGAUCCAUAGGGGAGCGAAACAUGAUUUCCCUCUUUGCAAGCAUUGUGAAAAGAAGGGUCAUCCACCGUUCAAAUGCUGGAGAAGGCCAGACCAACAGUGUGACAAAUGUCAGCAGAUGGGACAUCAUUAGAAGGUUUGCAAAAACAACACUCAACAAACUAAUGCUGCACAGGUAGCUAAUCAGGAAGAUGAAGAGCAACUCUUUGUAGUGACAUGUUUGGCAACUAGCUGCUCUAGUGACAAGUGGCUUACCGACAGUGGUUGCACAAACCACAUGACAUUUGAUCGUGAUCUCUUCAAGGAGUUGGAUACUUUAGUAAUUUCCAAAGUACAAGUUGGUAAUGGAGACUAUUUCUGCCGAAGGCAAAGGUACUGUGGAAAUGAAAUGCUCCUCAAAUACAAAACUAAUCAAAGAUGUGUUUUUUGUACCUAAAAUUAGUCAUAGUCUGUUAAGUGUUGGCCAGAUGCUUGAGAAUGGUUUCAAACUUCUCUUUGAAUCCAAUUACUGUCAAAUUAAGGAUGAAGAUGGCAAAAACUUAUUCAAGGUAAUGAUGAAGGGAAGGAGCUUUAUAUUGGAUCUUUUAGAUCAUGAGCAAAAAGCUCAUUCUGCAACUAAGAUCAAUGCACAAUUUUCGCACAAAAGACUCGGACAUUUCAAACAUGCUGCUGUAAUUAACUCACAAAAGAAAGAUCUGGUUCGAGGGUUGCCUAAUGUUGAAGCCGAAAUACCAGAUUGCAGAACUUGUCAAUUUGGCAAGCAAGCAAGACUUCCUUUCAAGAAAGCAAUCUGGAGAGCUACUGAAAAGCUAAAAUUAAUCCACACUGAUCUGACUGAUCCUCACCGAACUCCGUCACUCAAAGGGAGCGCUUUCCCCCGAAUGGGGCCCUACGCUAGGGGUGGGCAUAUUUUGGUUUAAACCAAAAAAAACGAAAAACCAAACCGAAAUUUAAUUUUGGUUUCGGUUUUUUGGAUCGGAUUUGGUUUGUAAUUUUAGAAUUUCGAUUUUUCGAUUCGAUUUUUGGUUUUAAAAAAAAAAUCGGUUUAAACCGAAAAACUGAAAUUUUAUAAAAAAAUAAAUAAUAUAUAUAUAUUUUAUUAUAUAUAUAUAAUAUUUAGUAAUUCACAUUCACAAUUAACAUUUAACAGCAAAUUCGCAUACGCCGUAGGCUGUUUAUGGAUUGUUUUAGUGACUCAAAUAUUUUAUGGACUAUUUUGGUGACUUUAGACUGUUUUAUGGACUAUUUAUGCAGAAAAUAUGUUGUUUCAUGGACUAUUUUUACGAGUUUUGUGUUGUUUUGUAGACUAUUUAUGCAAGGUUAUAUUAUAUGUAAUGAUUGAUGACGUUAUGUAUUAUCUUAAGCUUAUGAUUAUUUCAUUCCGUUUCAUCCAUUUUGAGUUAUUUAUAAUUAUUUAUAUUUAGGAAUGAAAAACAGGUUUGAAAAAAAUAAUUUUUCUAAAAAAAUUCAUCAAUUUUAAAUGCUCAGUUAUGAAAAAGAGAGGCUAACUACUUUAAUAUUUCAAACCGAAAUAAAAAUCCGAAAUAACCGAACCGAAUUUGUAAAAACCAAACCAAAUCGAAUUUAUUACGGUUUGGUUAUGGAUGUCAUUUUUGUCACUCCGAAAAUCGAUAAACCGAACCGAUAUUAAACAAUCAGACCGAACCGAUCGAACGCCCACCCCUACCCUACGCAGGGCGAAUCCAAAUUAGUCGGACUCCAAUGCGGGUACCGGAAACCGGAUGGGGAAAAAAUACUGCAAGACGGAUCUUUAACUGGCAGAUAUGUUUACCAAAGCCUUGCCAAAGAGCAAAUUUAAAUUUCUCAGAGAAAGACUUAGAAUUUGCAGCAACUGAAGCAAGGAGGAGUGUUGAUUAUUGCCUCAGUUACUACAAUAACAGUAGGAGCAAUUGUUGGACAUUAUCCAGCUUUAUGAGCCAUGUUCUCUUAACUUGUUUAGUGGCUGAUUUUUAGAUGUUAGUGGUGUAGUUGUUUUGGAUAUUGCUAAUAAUGGAAUCAUGUACAAAGUAGUGGCUUAAUUAUAGGCUUUAGUUAUUGCAUUUUUUUAGUAUUUAAGCACCACUUCACAUUAAUGAAAAAUCAACCUUUGCGCGGUAAAUUAAUUUGUUCUCUUCUUUCUUUCUUUCUUUGUUUUCACUUCAACGAGUUGAAGUUAACCUUACAACAAUAAUAUGGACGGUGAAUAAUACUGAGAGUCAGACAAGUACGAUUAACAACAACAAUAAAUAGAAAGAAAGUUUAACAUUAUAUGAAUGUAACCUGUAGUGUGUGUGUGUGUGUAUAUAUAUAUAUAUAUAUAUAUAUAUAUACAAAGGUUACUGAAUUACGUUAACCCGUAAGUGGGCUACAAGAUAAUCUGUUUAAAUUGUCUUGUUCUUAGCCAUUUCUAUACACAUUGAUGCUUACGACAGUGACAACCUUGCUGCUAAUGACAAUAUUGUCUUGGUUGAGACAGCAUAAAACAUAUCUAUGCAUCUGUAAUUUUCAUUAUUUUGAUGUUUCACCUACCUCAUAAAUCUAGAGGAAAUGUUCAAAAACAAGAACAGUGAGCUAAGUGGUCUAAGGGGCUGCAAUUUUGCAGUGCCCCAGCAUCCAUUAAUACGAUGCAAACUGGGUAUAAUAAUAUAAGAAAUGUAUAAAAAUUGGUAUAGGAUUUAAAAGAGAAUGCUGGAAACCAAGAUGAUAGUUGAGUGAUUUGGUUUAUUGGCGGAACCUUAAGGCCUUGGGCAUCAAUAUGUGUGUUUGAACCCGACACUCACGAUCACUAAAUCCUGAAUCUGCCACUGAUGUGGUCUCAUGAUACCUAACUAAUCACUAUAUGAAACAUCUAUGGCCUUUACAUUUUCUUUAAUUUGAUGUUGCAGCCUGCCACAUUAAUCUAAUGGACCUUUUCUAAUUAAAAACAGUGAGCUAACUGGUCCAAUAAUGCCUAACUAAUCAGUACAUAAGGACCUAAAGAUAGUUGAGCCAUAUAAGCAUUUCACAUUACAUUCUUCUGCACUUUUUUCUUCCCCUUUCAUAAUAGUACCAAGCCAAAAGGUACCUACAAAGAUGGAAGUUAAGAACAAGUAUGUAGCAAUAAAAGCCAACAUAAAUGGUGCACCAGAAGAGUCAGACUUCGAGAUAAAAGUCGAAAACCUCUCACUUAUGGUUGAGCCAGAGUCUAAGGUGGUGGUUGUCAAGAACCUGUUUGUAUCGAUUUAGCCGUAUCAGAUAAACUGAAUGAAGAGCCAAAGUUCAUCACAAACAUCGAAGUUGUGCAACUACCAUUACUCCUGGAGAGGUCAUUGACACUUAUGGUGUAGGAAGAGUGUUGGUUUCUCAUCGGCCCGACUUCAAGAAAGAUGAUUUGGUAGCAGGCUUUCUUACCUGGGGAGAGUACACUAUAGUAAAGGAAGGUUCCCUGUUGAAUAAGUUGGAUCCUAGACUGGAGUUUCCUUUGUCUUACCAUGUCGGAGUUUUUGGAUUCAGUGGACUUGCUGCCUAUGGUGGAUUCUUCGAAGUGUGUAAGCCGAAGCCAGGGGAAAAAGUUUUCGUGUCUGCUGCUUCUAGUUCAAUAGGAC
Molecule: long non-coding RNA, 56046 nt
Filed under: Capsicum annuum
Lineage: Eukaryota; Viridiplantae; Streptophyta; Magnoliopsida; Solanales; Solanaceae
Description: long non-coding RNA (CANN_LNC005713)
Source: RNAcentral